AAACAAGCCCUUUAAAUUUUGGCUCCAAAAAAUCAGAGAAGACAUGGCUAAAAUAAUCAACCGGUAAUUACAAAGCUGCAAAUUUUAAUUUGUUGAUUGCAAAAAUAUGAGUCACUUUCUUCUAGUUUAGCAUUUUUUGAAAAGGCAGGGGAGGAAUAUGUUGCUGGAUCCCUUAAGUUUUGUUAUACUCUUCCAACCACAUUCUCCUUGUCACAAUCUUAUUCCACAAAAUCAGGGUUUCUUUCUAGUGGCUCCAUUUGGAAGUAUCUGAUGGAGCUGAGUCAUUGGAUUUUUCUUGUAAUUGGGAGACUUGAAUAACUUUAGGUUGUUGUCUUAUCUAGUUUGAUGGACAAGAAUACUUUUAUCAUUGGGAUGUCAACCUAGGUCCAGAUGUUUAAUCGAUUUCAAUUUUUGAUGAGAUUAUACCACCAAACGUUAGUAUCUCAAAGCACUCUAACUAGUGCAGGACUAAAAACAUUCAUUUUAUCAAAUAUAAUUAAAAAUAUCUAAAUAAUUAAAAAUUGUCUUAUGUUUAAGGACUAAAAAAAUUCAUUUAAACAAGUAUCGUACUUAACAAUUCUGUGAAUAUUACAUGGAUAAUCAAUCUAAUGAUCAUAGCAUAUGAAAGAGUAAAGACCUAAGAUUAAAAAAGAAGAUUAAAUUGCGGCAAGGUUUUAGCUAUGUACCACCAAAAGCUGUUACUGGCCUUGCACUUCAGUGUGGAAUGUUGUGUCAUAUAAUUUGAGGAUUUGCCUUGUCAAUUAGUGGGAGAUGCGGAUACAUCAACAACAAUCUACCUGGAUCAUAUAUUAAUAUAGCAGCCAAAGGCAAAGAGCCAAUUCAACAGCAAAAAUGGAGUAGAGCCAAAGUCUAUCAAGCAUGAGUCCAAACACACAGAUCCCUGCUCUAUUGUUCUCCAUGUAUGUGACUGCAUUAUUUAAAAGAUAGCAAAUCAAGACAAAACACAAUUUAAUUGACUCAUCAGUUGAUAAGGACAAAUACUAAAUUCCCAUUUACCUAGAGCCUUCCCUCUUAGGAAUGAGACAGUAUGUAUUCAGAAUGGGAUAGCCUGACUUAGCCAUUUGAUGUAAUUCAACUCAUCCUCUGCAUCACCCGUUAAACCCAAAGGAGUUACAUCAUGUGGUGUUGUUGGGGUCUCUCCAUCAUUGCUGUGAUGGAUUGUGCUUCGUGUGCGAUCUUGGUUGACGUUCGCAAGAGUAUGAAAAGUCCUCUCAGCAGGGUGAUAGAAACUAUGUGCAACAUUAGUUGAACUCAAUUUAUUACUCUAUUUGCAGUAUCUAUACUUGAAAAUAUUAAACAAUCUCUGCAAAAGCACUGCGGAGCUAAGGAAACACGAAUUCGGAUCCUCUGCUGUCCUUGCAAUCUCUACAACAGCAAAAUGACAAGUGUAUAAAAGUUUUGACCAAUUUAACCUUUUGAGUCAAUCUUAACCAUUUAAUAUAAGAAUCGCCAAAAAAUUGCAGCUGAGAACUGCAGAGGAUCCAUGUUGAAGGAAACACACAUGCUCCUAAAUAAUAGCCAUGUGUCACAAGUAUAAGAGUACAAUAAUAAUUAGAUGAAUAAUAACAUUUUAUGAGCUAUAAUAACUCAUUUUAACUAUGACAAUCUUCAAUGUGUUUAUUCAUUAUAUCUAUGACACUGUAUCAUGUUAGUCUCUAUUUGAUAGAUGAAAGAAAAAGAAGCUUCACCGCAAGCCCUCCAGCCUUGAGGACAUUAACAUCAUGCAUGAGGUUUUGUAGCCAUAAUAAGCAGAAAACUGAACUGGAUUGCUGUCACCAAAAGCAGAGAAACCAAGAUAAAACAUAAAAAACGAUGGCUAAUGAUCUGCAGAUUACUUCUUACCCAGAAGAUGAACCCUUCCUCAAUUUUUCCGUAAACACCUGAAGCUAAAUCACCUAGCCUGAGAAUUUGCAUGUGACAGACGAGUUGAAAGAGGACACACACCAGGAAGGAAAUGUAGGCUCGAUAAAGCCAAGAAGCUACAAGGUGAUUAUGUCAACAAUGAAAAAGCCUAUGAUUAAGGUUUACAAGUUACAACUGUGUAGUCAAAUAUUCCACAAAUGACAUGCUGUUGAAUUUUAUUAGUAGUUGAUGACAUAAUAAAAAAUAUUCAAAUAAGCUGACAAUGUGAGUGUAUGUGAUUUGACCAAUGGAUGCUUUAGUUUACAAAUUAAAUUACCAUCAUAUCAUAUAGGAAAAUAAAACUAACCACUAUAUUCGAAUAAUUAUUCACAGUAAUUUUUCGUUAUAGUGUAUGCAAGACUAAUUAUGAGUGACACCUCUGAUUUCAGCGGCGCUUAACUAGUUAAACCUUAGAUUUAUGGUAUGUUUGUGAUGCAAUGCUACUUUAUUAUUUGACCUGAGUUACUAUAUAUACAUGGUGGUGCUAUGUGACAGUGUCAUGUUUGAUUUAAACUUCUAUCUGUAUUGAAGAAUGUAUUGCUGUACAGAUGAUGCAUAAUGCUGAUUUAGUUUAGUGCAGCUAGGAGCUCCUGUUUCGGAUCAUAUUUGCUGCGGUCAGUUUGAAAUCAUUGUGCAUUUUCAGACAAUGCAAAUCGGAUCACCUUACAUUUUAUCUGGUAAGCAAUCUUCAUUUUUCUGCAGUCUUGGUGUGUUAACCAAAGAACAAAAUGGAAGGUGCUGGAUCACUUGACUCCUUGCAAGGAGCCAUAUCAAAUGGCGCCAGUGUGCAUAUCUUUGUAAUACUUGCUAUCAGUUCACUUCAUCUUGUAGCAAAAGAUCAACCAAACCAAGCCGCAUACUAGACAUUAGGUUAGUUCUACUUCGUCUUUCUCUUGAUAUUUGUGAUAUUUUAGCUACUCUUCAUAAAUUGUUUUACACAUGUUAAAUACUUGGAGCACUAAUUGAAAUUCUGAAAGGCUGAGUUAUGAAUAUUUCCUAACUUUUUUAAUAAUUCAAACAUAUGUGAUGCAUAACUGUCAAUUUCUCAAGAUAUGUAAAAAUCUAUUUCUUCACUAGUUAAGUUUAUGGCCAAAGCAUGAGAGAUGACAUUGGUGAGCUUGGGAAAUAAAAAUAAAGGCUAAAUAUAUUUUUUCCACGAGCAAACCAAGCACCUCGAAUAGUUCGUCAUAUAGUCCUCCGGGAAAAGGUGCAAGCUAGGUUACUGAAGCUUCUUCCCCUCUCCACUCAAGAUCAGGUGGCUAAUGUUUUCACCAAAUCUCUAUUUCAACGGUUUUUGGUGACUUUUCUUACCAAAAUGAAUAUGAUCAUUUUUUGCCCUUCGGCUUGCAGAGUUAUGAGAGCCGCCAAUUUAGUUAGAAAGUUAAAGGCAGUUAGGAUUCUGUUAGUUAGUUAGUUAGUUUGGUGUAGUUAGUAAGCUAGCAUGGCAGCUAGUUCUGGUUGUGUCAUAACCACGAAGCUUAUGGAAAAAAGUAACUUGUGUAUAUAAUUCUGGUACUAACUACUAAGCAUAUCACUCAAAACAAUUGAUUCUCAUCUUUCUUCCCAAUGUUAUCACUCUUCAAUUCUCUCAACUCAGCUAAUUAUUUUGUCUUAUGCUUUCAAAAAAAAAUUACAAUUCGUAAAUCAUAAUCAGAACCACUAGAUCCAAAUGAAUUGGAGACUAAUACGAACAAGGUACAGAGGAGGAUCGCCGUGGUCCCUUUCUGUCUCUAAACAAAAACUGUUUUGUUAAGUAGCCAAAGAAAAAGAGCCGUUUGAAUAGCAAAAAUUGUCUGAAGGAGAUUCCUGCUCUGUUGUUCUCCAUGUAUGUAACUACAUUAAAAGCUAGUAACUCAGGACUAAAACAAUAUGAGUAAUGAUUUGAUUGAAUAAAACACCAGUAUUAAAUUGCCACUUACCUAGAGCCUGCCUUGUAUGGAAAGAGAUGGUAUGAGUAUAUACUGGUAGCAAUUUGGUGUUAUCGAACUCGUCAUCUUCAUCUCCCACCUCUUCAUCUGGUAAUCCCCAAUUAACAUUGGUAGCUAUUGCUUGGGCUGAAGCUGUAUCUGUUGUUUGUGUCUCACCAUUAAUGUUCUCAAACGAGUGUAUGGCGGCACAAAUAUGCCACUUGGCAGCAAGGCCUAUGACAGAUUGUGCUUUAUGUGUGAUCUUAGUUGCGCUUCGCAAGAGUAUGAGAAGUCCACUCAGCAGGGUGAAAGAGACUAUCUGCAACAUUGAAUUCAACCUGUUUGUUACUUUCUAUUUACACUGUCUAUGCCUGAAAAUAUUUAACAUUUUGAGCAAAAGGAUAGCAGACCAAAGGAAGCACCGAUACUUCGAAAUAAUAGUCAUGUGUCAUAAUUGUCUUGGACACAUUUGUAUCAGAUACUUCACAAAACUUCUAAUUUUAUUUUUCAACUUCAUGUUUUUUUUAACUUUUUAACCUUUAAACCAAUAAAGAUAAGAAUAUCAUAGCCAUUAUGCUUACAAUAACUCAUUCUAACUCUUAGAAUCUUAUUAUUGUUUUUGAAUUUAAUGUUUAUGUAUAAAUUACUAGUUGUAUUAUUGUCAUUUUCCAUCUUAUGAUUUUUAAAAAUUUUCUUAUGUCCUCUGUAUCAACCUAGAAUCUAUGAUCUCCGACAAGUAUCAUGUCUGUUCUUCAUUAGAAAACUAUUUCUUAAAUGGAAGAAAAGAAGCUUUUACCGCAAGCUCUCCAGCCUUGAGGACAUUAACAUCAGCGUGAGGUUUUGUGGCCAUAAGCAGAAAGCUGAACUGGCUUGCUGACACCAAAAGCAUAGAAGCCAAAAUGAAAGAUCGAAAACGAUGGCUGAUGAUCUGCAGAUUCCUUUUUAUUCUUUGGUGCUCCAAUAAAAUUGACUCCACCUCAGUUUUUCUCUGAAAAACUAUUGCAAGCUCAUCGAGUUUCAGUAUUUGGAGGGAGCAAAUGAGACGAAAGAGGACACACACCGCAAAGAAAAUGGAGGUUCGAUAAAGCCAAGACCACAACUCCAAUGCACAAAGAAUGAUGCUGCUCGCGUGCAUUUCACCAUAAUAUGGUAUUUGGGAUGCACCUGAGACAUACCACCAUAUCUUGUCAGCACAGGCAGCUAGAAAACAGGGAAGCCCCACACGUAAGAUAAGCUUCAUGGUUCCCUGCAUAAUAGAAACAAAAGUUUGUUUGUCAAACAAGACUAUGAUUUAUAUUUAGCUUUAUCAGUUUUCUAUUUACAUGAUUUUGAACAUAUAACCUCAUCAAACUUAUCCUAGCCUCUCAGGGCUAACUCAAUCAUGUAAACAAAUAAAAAAUUAAUCACAAUAUCUUAUAGAAAUAGGAAAUUAAAAAUAUGAGAGAUUUUUCUUAGUGGUAGAUAAUAUACUAUAGUUUAUAGAACUUCACCAACACACCAGAAAGAGAUGAAAAGGGACAGGAAACAAAAAAGAAAAUUAAUAAAAACACAAACCUGCAUUUGUUCUGCAUAUCCUCGUUGAAUCUUGAGGUUUUCAUUGCUUACUUUAUCAAGGAAGAGAAACUUGCUCAAACCGUAUUUACGAUCCCAUCGAGAGAGGCAGAUGAAAGAGAGAGUUGCAAACACAGUGAGAGAAAUCUGCACUGGUAUGUGGUAUGGUCGACGGUGAUUAGCAUCACAGGCGGUUCGACAAUGAAGUAGGUAUUGUGACAUAACCGGUACAAUGAAGGUCAAGGUGAAGAACACGGACCAAGAGAGAACAGAUUUGUAUAUGUUGGAUUGGACCACGAAAACCCAUCUCAGGUAUGAUCUGAAUUUCUUGCUCCUUUGCUCCAAAUCGUGCUGAGCAUCUUUUCCUGAUAUCUCAUGGCUUCCUUUUUCCAUACAACUUAAAAUGUGGUUGCUGGAGUAAGUAUCUGAUGCCUUAGCUUCAUCAGCUUUUUCUCUGCCCUUAAUUUGUGCAGUGGAUGGAACAUUUACAAUAUCUCCAUUGCCAAACUUUGGAACGUUACAAUGCUUCUGCCAAUAAAGAGUAAUUGGCCAAAGAUAUAUCAGAAAGAAUUUGAGAUCAAAACAGAGAAAUUUUGGGCUAUCGUUAGAGAAAUUCCAAUAAGCAGCUACAAUAAAAACAGAAUACAGAAAAGGCAACAUACAGUAACUAGGAAAUGAUUGCUAGCCACUAACAAAAACAGGAAAUGGCUAUUAGAUGAAAACUAAAUUAGUCUCCAAUGUUUAAUUUCAAAUUACUAAUGUUUUGUGUUGAGAAUAUAAUAUGAUAUGAGAGCUUACUGCCAUUAUUAGUAAGGAGUUUGUUAUGGUAAUGAAUCCAGAAGAUAGUCUGUGUGCCUCUGAGAGUAAAUGUUGAGAGUUUCUGCAAAAACAAAACCCUUUAUAGGUGAGACUGUGGUGCUAACUCAUAGAGGAAAGGUAAUUAAUUAAUAACUUGAAUGCCAAACAAAAUAUGAGUCUCUUACUUCAAGGUUAGCAUUGUCAAAAGGCAGGGAAAUAGGGAAUGUAAUGCCAAAAUAUGAGUCGUUUAUUCUUGAGUUUUGUGCUGUUCCUCCCAGCAACAUUCGCAGGUCUUAAUCUUAUUUCCACACUUUAGAUAUUCUUUCUAGUGGCUCUAUAUGCAAUUUUUUUAAAAUGUAUUGUUGAUUUGAAGUUAUAUUACAAGUUAUGAAUAGGUGUAAUUUAUCUUUCCGAGGUAAAAAAAAAUCUCAAAUUUUCAUCUUUAUCAAAUUUGAAUACAUUUAUAUUUUCCUAUUUUAAAAAUCACUAUUUAAGGGUAGUGUUAGUGAGUUUAACCAAGUUAUGAAAAACUCUAUUGUAAUGAUAAUAUGAGUUUAUAAACUAAUUAUGACAAAUUUAAAAGUUGAAAUAUCUAUUUACAAAAAGUAUAAAUCUAAAGUUGUUUUAUGAUUUUUUCCCAUCAAUUCAAGUCGUUCAACCCUUUAUAUGAUCCUGACAUUAUACAAGUUUAAUAAAGUCCUACUAUCCUUUACUAGAGAAACAUUUUCCCCAAGUAAUUGGAAAUCUAAGAACUGGUGAGAGGUCAAUAUUCUUUAUUCUAUUUUUUAGUUUUUAAUCCCGCCAUAUGUGAACUAAUCUCCAUAUAAAUUUCAAUAUAGGGCCUACUUUGUACUUAUAGCCACAAGACGUUUUAUACUCUUAGUAAAACACUGCUGGAUUUUUUAUAUUACCCACUAACACGAAUUUUAUGUCCGUUACAUGACAGAACAAGGAACUUAUGUGCAAUAUUUGGAAAGAAAAAAUCAAGCAGAUGUUAAAUAGCUGAUAUUUCUGAAUAAUUUAUUAGCUCACUAUUUCUAUUAUUUUUCUUGUGUUUUUUUAAGUUUUAUCAACGGGUGGUUGGUUCAAGUGGUACAUGUGAUUCCUCUUAAGCAAGAUCUCGGGUUUGAGUCUUGUAGAUAAAUGUACCCCUACCAUAAUGUGAAUGUUUCCGACUCAAACAUAAUUGCCUCCAAAUGAGGUGGUUGCAGGCUGUGGGAACCAAAGAAUUUACAACCAAUAACCACAAUCAGAAGCGCAAUUAAGCGAAUUUAAACAUCUAGUAGUUACUAAUUUUAGAGCUUUAAAAGAUGAAAUAAAAUUAGUUAGUAGCUCGUCAGACAAUUUUAUUUUAAAAAACUUAAUAAGUGUUUAAAUUAUUAUGUGGAGAUCGAAUAUUUUAAUUUACAUUUAAAUUACAAUUUAGUAUGAUAAGAUGUUAAAUUUCAGACUAUUUAGUUUAUUGAUAUUAAACAAAAAAAGAUGGGGAAAUUAAAUUUUCUUAGAUCAAAUCACGUGGAGAGGUUAAUUCUUAUAUGCAAUAUAUAACUAAAAUUUAUCAUAGUUUGAUUUAAGAAAGAUAGUCUUCCUUUUAAUAUAGUUAAUAGAGAAUAUACAAAUCAUGACAACCUUAUGUUUCAAUUACUUGAACCACCUGGUAAUGCAUUUUAUGUUCUCAAAAUAUAAUAGAUUGUGUCAAAAGAAUAGAAAGGACUAACUUGACAUAAACAUUUAUCUAAUAUGUCAAACAAAGGAAUUCUUGCAAUCAUUUAGAACCAUCCAUGGAAAGAAACAACACCUCACUGCUGAAGUUUUUGUGUUCUAAUGUGAAUACAACACAAAAGUUAGAAUAAUCUCUAAGAACUCGUGUGUAGAGUUUUACGUGCUGAGCUAUUAGAAAUUGUUGUUGCAAAGAACAAACAGGCAAGACCUAGAAUAAUAAUGUGUCGUGCAUAGCAUUUUUUUUUUUUUUUUUUUGAACUCGUGCAUAGCAUUUUUACUUGGAGAGUAUAUGUGUUGCAUAAAUUUUUUAAUUGAAAAGCUUCAUAUAGAUCAAUAGAUAUGAUCACUAUCAUGAACAUGAAUUACCAUUAGAAAAUAAUGGCUUCGUAACCAAAGGUUAACCCAAGCUAUGAAUUCAGAAAAGCAAAUUAAUAAAAUAUGUCACUGAAAAAUGCUAGACACUAUUUAAUUGGUCAAAAUCCAUAGAGGGUCCCUAAAUUAUAUGAGACUCAAACCCAAUUUAAUGGAACUUACAUGAACUUUAACUAAUUAAAGAAAGUAUUAAGAAGAGAGUGUCAAAAAGAGUAUUGGUAACGCUCAUCUUGAAAACAUGUAACUUGUCAUAGUUCUAAAUAUAACUUAAUGUAACAUUAAUUUAUCGUGCAUUUGAACAACUUAAUUAAGCAUUUAUGAUCAUAAGCUUUAGGAUCGCAUAAGCGCUUAUUCAUAAGCUAAUUUUAGAAGUUUAUUGAAAUAAGCUCUAAAUAAGUUAUAGGUAUGUAUAAGCGCUUAAUCAUAAGUUAAUCUGAACGGUUUAUGAAAAUAAGCUUAAAACAGUUUAUAGGGAAAUCAUUAGUUUACAUAAGCUCUCUCGAACACUUACAUAAAAUGUGUAUGUUAUAAGAUAAACUCAAAUAAACUCUUCUAAACGAGACCUUAGCGUUAGAGAGGGAUGAAAAGUUGAAAAUCCCAUUUAUUUGUACUGUGCAUGACAGGGAAGAGAGAUUUAAAAAGUGAACCUUUAACCAUUAUCAUCUCUACUCUUUUAGACAUUUAAUCAAACACAUAGUAUGCUUGAUUCUGAGACACAUACGCAUAACCAAUUCUAAUAGUUACCCACUCUCAUCUCUAAUUUUUCACACAUCUAUUCGAAUUUUACUCUCAAUCAGCACACAAGAACUUACCUUGAAUGCCAUGAGUGCAUUUAUCCUCAUCAAUGGAGAAGCAGCGAUUCAGUGCCAGAGUUUCCCACCUAGCCAAUCUUUAAGCAGUGAGACAGAGUCAGCAGCAUGAGGUUGAUCGAAGCUAUUACUUGAAUCUGCUGCAGUAUGAUUUGAAGCUCGAAAUUUAGGGAGAAUAGUGAAAUUUGUAAAUUUGGUAAAUGCUGACAUUUUAGCACUUUGAGAGAUUGGAUGAUGCUACAAGUUUGGGGGUGACGAGGGGAAGAGAACAAAAGCAAAGCACGCAGUGAUUGGCCAAAUGUGAGAGAAAGUCAAAAUUAUUUUGAAUAGAACGCUUGAAAUGAAUAGGAGGAGGCAAACGAGAAAAGUGUUCUUUAUAAGUAACCUAUAAUUUCAGAGGUAUACUUUGACCUAUGGUGAUGAAAUAAGCCAAAGUCACCCAAACUUUUUUCCAUAGGAAAAAAUCUCACAAUUUUAUAGUUGUUUUCUAUUUUUAAAUUUUAAAUUAAGAAUAAUUUACCAUAAAUGCCAAAUGCCAUGCUUUUUUGUGCUUUAACAAUUUUUUUUGGUGCUCAAAUGUCAUGCUACUCAAAGAGUACAGAAAAAAGUAGUGUAGCUUAACGUAGUGUCUCAUUCCCACUCUUUAGAGGAAUGAGGUUCAGAUUUGUGAAUUCCAAACAACCUCAUUGCCAGUCUUCUUAUUACUCCAUUUGACAGUAGAAGAGAGUCGCACCCUUUCCUCUAGCAUCUUUACUGCAUUCAUAACAUGUUUAGAAAUUUGUUGAAUUUUCAUGUUGAAGCAAAAAUAAUUAUGUGUGCAAUUGUAGCUAGGGAGUAGCUUUUGUGAGGCAUAUUUAAUUGAGGGGGUUCACCGCAUAUCCAAACACGCUAUAAAGCAAUAUGAUUGAGCUAAUGAUAAGAGUUUAGGUAGUUUGCAUCAGAAUAUAAGUUAAACUCUUACUACCACCACUAUACACUAAAAAAAACAUCUACUACAUUACUUAGCAAAGGAAGACUUUUGUUUUCAGUGAACUGAUGAACACAUCAUCAAACCAUUCAGUAAUUAUUACAACAACAUAGAGAGAAGGGGUAGAUCAAAGAGUCCUUCCUACCCGAGGCCUAUUGUGAUAAGAUUGAAUACUGCAGUACUCAUACUCAGCAUAAAUUCAUGGUAAAAACUCUAUACAUUGUAAUUUGUAAGUAAUAUUUAUGGUAUCCAUUGAUUCUAGGCCAUCCUUACCUGAUGUGAGGACUUGACUUGCUGAGUUGUAGAUGAUGCAGACACAUUUCCAACAGUCUCAGCAAUAUGUGGAGCAAACGGGAAUCAUUUACAUCUCAUAUAUCAUUACCAGAUCUCUCAGAUCCAAAUGAACUGAAUACUGGUAAACUAUUCAAAAUACGUACAUAUAACGCAUAUUGCACAAGGAAGGAGGAUCACAUCAAAGAAAUUCAUUUCUGUCUCUAAAUCCCCACUGUCUUGUUAAGGAGCCAAAGGCAAAGAGCCAAUUGAAUAGCAAAAAUGGAGUGGAGCCAUGUUCUGUCAAGCAUGAAGCCAAACACUGUGAUUCCUGCUCUAUUGUUCUCCAUGUAUGUCACUGCAUUAAAAGAUAGUAACUUAGGACAAAACUCAAUUUGACUCAUCAUUUGAUAAGGAAAUAUUAUUAAGAAAUUUCCAUUUACCUAGAGCCUGCCUCUUAUGGAACGAAAUGGUAUGUGCGUAAAUUGGCAGCAAUUUUGUGUUAUCCAACUCAUCCUCUUCAUCUCCUACCUCGUCAUCCGAUGAUCCCCAAUUAAUAUGGGGAGCCAUAGCUUGGGCUGAAGCUCUUUGUGUUGUUGGUGUCUCUCCAUCAAGGUUGUCAAAAGUGUUUAUGGUGGCACAUAUAUGCCACUUAGCAGCAAGGCUUGUAAUGGAUUGUGCUUUAUGUGUGAUCUUAUUUUGCUUUCAUAUAGCUUGGCCGCAUGUGGCGUUUGGAGGCAUCCAAGCUUUUUUCUCAGGGAAUGAUGUGCAAUGGCCUGACAAAGAAAGGUAGAUGGAAACUGUGAAAUUAGCAUUAACUAAUUUCUGAUUUUUUUAUGAAAUAUCUUGUUCCACUGAUAUUGAAAAUUUAAUUGAUUCUUGCUCUCUUGAUUAAGUAAUAUUGAUUUGAAGAGUGGAAAAACAAGCUCUUGAACAUAUUUUUGAGGUGCUGAGUUUGUCAACUGGUGGUCGCUUCAUACAGUUCCUCAUCAUUAGAAGGGGAAUUGAUUCUAGCUAGGAGAUACUACUCCGAGUAGCUUUUAUGGGAGCUGAAUUGAUUCUGAAAGUUUUGAACAUGAAUCCAAAUAUACUAUCACUUGAGUUCUUUACUUGAAAUUGUAAACUGAUGAGAUUUUACAAAUUGAUUACAGCGCUACAAUAAACAUAACAAAAUGUGAUAUCGGCUUACUGGCUUAAUAAUUGUACAUAUUAAAUAUUUGAUAGGAUAAGGGCUUAACAUGUUUAUAUCCUAUUAUACUCUUUAGUCUCUCAUUCAUUAUCAUAUUGUGCCCAUAAAAUGAGCUUUUAGAAUCUAAAAGCACUCUAACAACCUCAGGAAUAUGUAAAGCAGACGCUUAUGUUUUCAUUUCGUAGAUCAUAACAACAACUAUUAGACCCCAAUUAACUGAAGAGUAUUCAAUAUAUACAAUGAGCAGGGUAGCAUGACCAUAACUCAUAGCAGUUCCUUUCCGACUCUAUAUUCCGAUUGUCUUGUUAAGCAGCCAAAGGCAAAGAGCCAUUUCAACAGGAAAAAUGGAGUAAAGACAAGUUCUAUCAAGCAUGAAUCCAAACACUGAGAUUCCAGCUCUAUUGUUCUCCAUGUAUGUCACUGCAUUAAGAGGUAGUAAGUAAAUCAGGAUAAAUUUAAAAACAAUUUGACUAAUGAUUUGAUUAUAAUAACAGUAUUAUAAAUUCCAAUUUACCUAGAGCCUGCCUCUUUUGAAAUGAGAUGUCAUGUGUGUAAAUUGGCAGCAAUUUUGUGUUAUCCAACUCAUCCUCUUCAUCUCCUACCUCGUCAUCCGAUGAUCCCCAAUUAAUAUGGGGAGCCAUAGCUUGGGCUGAAGCUCUUUGUGUUGUUGGUGUCUCUCCAUCAAGGUUGUCAAAAGUGUUUAUGGUGGCACAUAUAUGCCACUUAGCAGCAAGGCUUGUAAUGGAUUGUGCUUUAUGUGUGAUCUUAGUUGCACUUCGCAAGAGUAUGAAAAGUCCACUCACCAAGGUGAUGGAGACUAACUGCAACAUUGGAAUCACCCUAUUACUUUCUACUAUUUGGAGUAUGACAAUAUCUAAUAGCAUGUUUGGAUCAAUUUCUCUUUCCUCAGAAUCAAUCCUGAUAAACAGAAGCUACUCACAUAACUUCUUCGUAGGAUUGAUUUUGAGUUUAAAAUCAAUCAUAGAAGGAUUUCCAAACAUACUAUAAGUAAUGCUUGAACAUAGUCAACAUUUUGAACAGAAGAAUAAAGAAAGAAGCUUUACCGCAAGCUCUCCAGCCUUGAGGAUAUCAACAUCAGCACCGGUUCUUGUAGCCAUGAGCAGAAAAAUGAGCUGGCUAGCUGUCACCAAAAGCAAAGAAGCCAAGAUGAAAGCUCGAAAACGAUGGCUGAUGACCCGAAGAUUCCUUCUUAUUUUUAGGUGUUCCAACAAGAUUGUGCCCACCUCAGUUUCUCUCUGGAAUACUGGAGCAAAGUCAUCUAGUCUGAGUAUUUGCAGGUAGCAGAUAAGUCGAAAGAGGACACAAACCAAGAAGAAAAUGGAGGUUCGGUAAAGCCAAGAACAUAGCUCCAAUGUGCCCAGAAUGAUGCUGCUCGCGUAUAUUUCACCAUAAUAUGGUAUUUGAGAUGUACCGGAGGCGUACCACCAUAUCUUGUAGGCACAUUCAGCUAUGAAACAUGGAAGCCCCCAACGCAAGAUGAGAUUCAUGGUUCCCUGCAUAAUAGAAACAGAGUUAUUCUGCUAAACAUGAGAAUAAGUUUGCUAUUUCAGAUAGAGUGGUAGGCUUUGACAGAGUCAAAUGUUAAUUGAUGAGACUUGAAAUUAUUAUCCAACAAAUGACUUUCUUACUCAAUGUCCUUUAAUAAGAGUCAAUGUUCUUUAACAAAAAGACAAUCCAACAAUGACCAAAUAGUUGCUACGAUUCUUAACAAUAAGAGAAAGGGGAAAACUCAUCAGAAUUGGCAAAAGGGCAUGAUUUUGUUGACUUAUAGACAGGACAAGUAAGGGAGCUUAGUUCUGCAUUCCUUAUACAGAAAUCUACUUGUCCUGCUUCUAUUUCUCAUCUCUUAAUCUUAGAAAUUGGGUUAGGCCAAAUACUGCCCCAAAAGUUAGUGCCAAAGGUGAGAAUUGCUCUACCUUUUAUAAGGACUUACUUGGUCAUAUCUCUAGUCCAUGUGCAUGGGACUUCUUAACACAAUCAGAACUAUAUGAAAUCCACAUCUCUUGCAUGUUGUUCUAAAUAUUAUAAAACAGAAAACUUACUAGUUACUACCUUAGAAUAGUAAGUGGAAAAAAGAGAAAGAGAUAUACAACACCACUGUUUGACUGUUUCCCUAUUUCUAUAGUAAGAAUUAUAUGUAAUUAAAACCAUGUUUCAUACUUUUCUUAUUCUUUUUGGACAUAGCUAUAAGUCCAUAACAAAGUAGCAUUGUUUCCAUCCCUAAUCUUCCCCUAUUUCCUGUUAAAUUCAUGAAAAAUAGCCAGAGAAGAAAAAAGGAGAAAGAUAAUGUGACUUGUUUCAACUCAUCAAGCUACAAAACAUUAACAAGACAAACCUUCAUCUGUUGUGCAUAUCCUCGCUGAAUCCUGAGGCUUUCAUCUCCAACUUUAUCCAGGAAGAGAAACUUGCUCAAACCAUACUUCCGAUCCCAGCUAGAAAGGCUGAUGAAGGAGAGGGUGGCGAACACGGUGAGCGAAAUCUGCACCGGAAUAUGGUACGGUCGACUAUGAUCAGCGUCGCAGGUGGAAGGACAAUAAAGCAGAAAGUGAGACAAAAUGGGGACAACAAAAGCCAAGGUGAAGAAAACAGAACAUGUGAAAACAGUUUUGCAAACGUUGGAUUGAUCAACGUAAACCCAUCUGAUGUAUGAUCUAAUCUUCCUCAAUUCAGCUUCAUCGUUGAGCAAGUAGCUAGCGUUCUCCUCCUUGUUCACUUGCAGGAGAAUCCCUCUGUCAUCUUCCAUAGCCUUUGAAUUCUCCUCUGUUCGCCAGAAUUUGAGAUGAACAACACAUAUAAAUUAAUGUUGAAAUUUUGAAGGUUGAGAUUUAUGGAGGUCACGAUUUGAAUAACGAAAACCCGUUUCACGGACAGACAGCUUGCAUUACAUUAGCAUCAUGUGUCAAUGUUAAGCAUUUAGUUUUUAAUCUCUAUGAUUGAUUGUCAUGGUGGUAUUUUAUUUAAUCUACGGUGUUAAUCACCAUCCUCCACGCCCACAAGCUCCUAUCCACCCAAAUGGGCUCCACAUGGGUUCGCCAAUUCAAAGCAAUUGUGGCUAAACAAAGUUAGAGUUCAUAAUAUAUACCCUUAAUUCACAAGAAUGUAUGUAUGUAUGUCAUUGAAGCUAUUAUUAUUAUUGAUUGAAAUGACUAAAACGAAAAGAGACCACGAAUAAAUAAUAUUGUUUAAAUUUGUACCAUAAAGAAUAAGAUAACAAUUAUUAAUCGUAUAAUGUUACUAAAAGUCUAUAAUACUAUUAUUCAGUUUUACUAAGAUUAUGAGCAGAUAUUAAAUUUUACUUAAAAUAAAGAAGAAUGUAAUAGACAGAGAAAUUAUAAGUGAGAUAAAAUUUAUUAAAUAAAUGUAUACUUAGAAAAAAUUAUCUCGAUUUCAUAAAACAACCAGCAACAUUUAAAAAAAAUGCUUAAACAAUAAUUUUUGUGAAAUAAAUGGAGUAAUAUGCUACUCCCUCCGUUCCAAUUUGUUUGUUGUUUUAGCAUUUGCACACAGUUUAAGAGCUAAUCAUUAGAUCCACACUCACACUACUAAUUUCACACUACAAGAGAGAAACUUGACCAGAAUAAUGGCUUACAUUUUCGUAAAUAGGAAUAAUAAUUAAUAGAGAUAGUGGGGAUAGUUAUAAAUUGGAACGGAGGGAGUAAUAAAUAUGUGUUGGAGGUGAAAUUAAGCUCAUGAAUUAAAGAGUAAUAAUUAUGUUUGAUGUAGCAUGAUUUUUUGGUUUGAAAGAUGAUGAUAUAAUUGGUUUGUACUUUGUAGGGAGCAGAACAGUAUUAUUGGCGCGAAAAGCAGUGAAAUGUAAAUUGGACAGUUGGAGGUUUGCGCGGAUUUGGUCGUUUGAUUAGGAGCAAUGGACAACUCAGAGUCACAGACAGGUGGUGUGUAUUUUGGCCUUUGAAUAUGAGACACUUGCAUGCAUCACCGCUCACGCUCAGCCACACCAAAACCAUUCUAUUCUAUUUCUACCACUUGUUUCUGCUUACCUGGGCAGGUGAUGUUGAUUGCUUGAUUUUUACGCAAACAAAAGUCGUUUAGUUGUUCACGGAAUCCCUUCAUCAAUGCCGAGUGUGAUUAAUAAGGUUCACUUACUAUAUUUGCCAAAGGUAAUUAAUACUAGUAUUUAAUAAGGUGCUUCAUUGUAUUUUAUCUUUUAGUUGGCACUUUGUAACACCUCUAGUUUUUUUUAACUAAUCCAACCUCUCUAAUUUUAAAGUUAGGUAAAUUUGAUCCAUGUCUCAAUUUUUUAGUGUAUAAAAUUAUUAAAUCUUCAUUUUUUUAUUAUUUUAUGAUUUUUGAUGAAUUGAUAUAUUAAUACAUAAAUACAACAUUCAAAAAUUAAAAGUAAAAAAAAAAGAUAAAUUUAAAGAAAAAGAGUUAGAAAAUAGAGAUAUUUAGUUUUCGAAAAUAGUUUAAUAUUAUGAUUAGUGAGUUUUCGUGAGAAUAAUGUUUGGAAUGACUAGAUUAAUUCAAUUUGUAAGGAUUUUUCUUAUAAAAAUGAGAAUUGGAGAGUUUCAAGUAGAAUGAUAAAUCUGUUUGAAAGAAUUAGGGGACUAAAAUCACAUAUGAUCUAAAUUUAGUGAACAAAAACUGUAAUUAAAUCAUAUGUUCACGGAAAUAAAAAAUAUAACACUAGCAAGUAGGUCAGACAAAAAUACACUAUGAUCAAUGAACAUGUAUUUGCGAGAGGGGGAUCCCUUUAUAUAGUCAGGAACCUCUUGUAUGGUAGUAAUAAAAUGAUCAAUUACAAUUAUGUAGGAAGAAAAUCAAGUGAUUACAAUUAUUUGGGGAGGGAGAAUUGAGCUACCAGACCUAAUUGGGAAUGUAGGUCGAUCGACCAUAUUCAUAUUGACAAUUAGAUAUACAGGAGGCUUACUAAUGAGAUGAGGAGGAAGAACUUGGACAUUCUUCCCUAUUCAGCUUGACAACGGCGUGUAGGUGGAUGACCUGUGCGACUAAGAAUUUGGUUAGCAUGCUAAAAUCUCGGCAUAAGUCAUAACAUUAGUAAAUUGGUCGAUUCAACUCCUUAACAUUCUAACAUACUCACUGCUUAACAAACACCUUUAUCUCUUUAACAUUCUAACAAGUAACAUACUCACUCGUUGGAUAUCUUCACAAUGUAAAUAUAUAUGAAUCAUUUUUCAUUUGUGGAUCUUGCACUUUGUCUUUUUAUUCCACAGUCAAUAAUUUUGUUAUCUUUAAUUUAUUUAUGAGAGGUUAUAGAUAGAGUGUAUAAUAUAAAAAUAAAAUUUAUAUAUAGACGCCUUAGCAAUUAUUGACAUAUGCAUUUAGCAACAAUUUUUCAUCAGAGCUAUACGCAGAAAUUUAAAAAAAAAAAAAUUGUUUAGUGAGGUCUUAAACUUAUGAGAAAUAAUUUUGUUAAUUUUGUGGUUGUUUGUGCAACGCUCUGAAGUUGCCAGAGAAGGCUUUUACAAAUUGUAGUUAAAAAACCAUCAUUCGACUCUCACAAUCCUCGUAUGUCAAUUGGUGGUCGAAACCCUCCUAUAUUCAAUUAUCAUUGACAAAUACCUAAUAAUUUAUUUAUUUUCAAGUUAGGUCUUGAAAUAGAAAGAUAUUUUCACUUUUCUUUACUCUCGCAAUUCUGAUCAAGUUUCAAAUGUCUUGUAAAAUGCGCUUUCUAAAAUUUGAAUGAAUAUACUUAAAUAAUUCUCCAAAUAAUAUUUUUUUAAUAAUUGAAGGUUAGAAAUUAAUCAAUAUAAAAUUAAAAUCGAUCAAAUGUGCCUUUUUAAAAUGUGCAAAAGGUAUAAAAUGUAUGCUAUAAUAAAAAAAUUCCUAUUAAAAUAUGAGAAAUGAAUGAAUUUGAAAAAUAUAAAUAUCAGCAUCUCCAUAUGCUCCAAACACAAAUAUCUUGUAAUAGUAUAUUUGUCCAAUCCACCACCACCAACUCACAGCAUAUGCCGACGGCUGAAUCCUCCAAGUCGCCGGAAAAUGCCGUAAACGCCGACUACGACUUCCACCAAACGACAAACAAAUCAUGGAGAUUCCACUAGCUUUUUCCGUCUUCGCACUUUCCAUUUCUUCAAUUUCUUAAACACUUUCCAGUUUCCAUUCUUCAUCUCCACAACCUACCACCCACCACCAUGGCGGCGAUUUUCUCUUCUUCAAUCUUCUCAACUUCAUCUCUCAACAAAUCGCCAUCUUCACACUACCCUCACAGACACCACAAUUUCAGCCCCCUUUCACUUCGUUCACCACUUUCCAGGUUCGUAAUCUUCAACCUUCUUCUCUCCUCUGUUACUGUUUGUUAUUGUUAUCAUUUCCGUUCUCUGAAAUCUGAACUGGAGCUUCAUCUUGUUCAGGGUACGUGCAACUGUUGUGAAAGACACAGAGGGUAAAGUGGUUGUGGAGAAGACUUUUCCCUCCAAGAUCCCUCUGCAAACUGGUGCUGAGGAGAACGUGAGUGAUAGUGAUAGUUCACCCCCCACUGCUUUUGAGUUGGGGGUUAUCAAGGUUGAACAAUCAAUCAAUAUCUUCCUCACGGUAAUGCUUUUCUUCUUUGUUUAUCUCAACAUGCUGGUGUUUUGGCUCAAAUUUCGUUGUUAUAUUGUUAAUUUGUUAUUUAUUGUUCAUAUUCAGCUAUUCAAUUCACUUGUUAUGAGAGAUAUACAUAUUUUUGGGGCAGGGGAGUAUUGGUUUGAAGUUGGUCUAACAUUGAGAUAUUGAUCACUUAAAAAUGUUGGAAAAUAUUUUUCAGUUGCCCAAUUUUCAGUUAGUCGUGAGUUGAGAAAAUGGCUAAUAGAGAAACAAUUUACAUACAUAUGAGCCUCGUUUUGAACUUAUUUGAGUUUAUCUUAUGGAAAAAGCACUUAUGCAAGUGUUUGAGAGAGUUUAUUUAAAUAGCUUAUGACCUACCUAUAAGCUGUUUUGAGCUUAAUUUCGUGAGUUGUUUAAAUUAGCUUAUGAAUAAGAAGUUAUGCUUACCUAUGUCCUAUUUUGAUUUUCAACUUAUUAUGCAAUAUGAUUGACAUAUCAUACUAUUAUAGUAUGGUUUCAGCUAAAAAUUUGAUCAAGGGGGGCUUUCUCAUUUUUUAUCUUAUAAUUGACUGACCAUUCUCUCAUUUUUUAGCUGUACGUUAUAGUCUUGAAUUAACCAUUCUGCUUUUGGGGAUUGUUAUUCAUAAAAUAAAGGUUCUCAUUUUUGUUGUUUUAUUACUUAUUUUUCGGCUUCACUGAUGAUUUCAGGAUUCUGUGAUAAAGAUACUAGAUGCUUUAUACCGUGACAGAAAUUAUGCAAGGUUUUUUGUGCUGGAAACUAUUGCGAGAGUUCCUUACUUUGGUAAGUGAUAUUUUUCAAAUAAUAUGUAUGGCAUUGAAAUCUAAUCAGUGCUAUCCUUACUGCUACUUAUUAAACAAUUUUUGUUUUUAAAGAAUAGACCGGUAUAUCAGCUGAGUUUUCCUAUAACAUUCAUCAUAAUGGAGGGAACUACUAUUCUCUAGCUGUACUUUAGUGAAAAUUACUGAUCUACUUUAGCAUCAUACUCAAUUAUGUAUUUAUGAUUUGUAAAUAUAGGGAGUCAGUGUGCAUUGUGAUUGAACUUUUCAUUAUUGAUUUUUGUGUAUAUGUCAGCCUUUAUGUCAGUUCUCCACAUGUAUGAGAGUUUUGGCUGGUGGAGACGGGCAGAUUAUCUGAAAGUGCACUUUGCUGAGAGCUGGAAUGAAAUGCAUCAUUUGCUCAUUAUGGAAGUAAGAUAUUUAUCAACUUCUUUUCAUUCAAUAAAACUGCAAUCUUUCUGGUUAAUCCUCAAUAGAUGCCACUCCAAGUCUACCCUUGAGUUCAGUUUUUGAAGGAUCAGUAGUUGAAUAUAUUAGGGUAGGACUAAAGGGUCGAAUCAGAAGAUCUUUACUAAAAGCAGGAGAAAAUGACCCCUGACAAUAUCUAUGCUCAUAUGUGUAGUUUAAGGGGUAUGUGCCACAUUUUCUAAAUGACACAUAAAAAAUUUCUAUUUUAGUUUAAGGGAAUUUUAGUUACAGUUUAAGCAUUCAUAGAAAUGACACAACUUCUAAAAUAUUUCGUGUUCUUUUAUUUGCUUUGGAGAAGCAUUCACAGAAAUGAUACAGAUAACUGUUUUAUGGAAGAUUUUUUUUCCUGCACCAACCAUGUAAAAUGUUUCUCUGGAAAAGUUUUUACUCUGAACAUUAGAAAAUAUUUUCUGGAAAAAUAUUCUCCAUAAAAUAGAUGGACCCUUACAUAAAAAAGAGAACAUAUACUUCUGGCGGGAGUUUUUGCAAGUUUUGUAGUAUACUAGUAUAUGAUCACAUAGAUGUUGACUCUGUUAUUGAACACUUUCGUUUAUGCAAUAAGCGUGGACCUCUGAUUGCAGGAACUUGGGGGGAAUGCUUGGUGGUUUGACCGCUUUCUCGCUCAACAUAUUGCAAUAUUUUAUUAUUUUAUGACAGCUCUAAUGUAUACGAUAAGCCCAAGAAUGGCAUGUAAGUAUUAAGUGCUUUCACUUUUGUUUCAUUACAAUUCCCACUACAUCUGUCAGUUUAUUUUUUGGAUUAUUAUGGAAUUUUAGUGAAGUGAUUGUAUACAUAUGAUGAUGGAGUUUGAAGACACCAAACGAAAAAUUGGCACUUGUUUGAUUGAAAAGAUAGAAGUUGACUGCACUUAUUUGCGUAGUUAUAUCUGUGGUGCUGGUAAACCAGAAGUAUCCAAGAUGUCCACAUGGUGUUCUUCUUAGCCUAAUUGAUAAAAUGAAAAUGAAGAAACAAUGAAUAUUAAACUGCAUAUCUGAACUUAAAACAACUAAAAUGAUGCAGCCGAUUAGCACGAGUUAACAAGAAUGAACAAACUGACUAGUUUGCUUUUAGUAAAAUUAUCUACAUUAAACAACCAUGUUUGACUGAAUCACACAUUGCUACAUUCUAUACCUGUCUGCUUGGUUAUUCAAUUGCUGAUUUUAUGUGUAUGGUUUGUUGCUAGUGCAGAUCACUUUUCUGAAUGUGUAGAGAAUCAUGCAUUUGAAACUUAUGACAAGUUUAUCAAGGACCAAGGAGGUAUUUUGGAGGUUUCUUCUCUUUUUUGUGUUAUCUACAUUUUAAUUGCAUUUGUUAAUAGUUUAUGCUGUUAGUUGUACUUGUAUGCUUUCAUAACUGGGGCAGAAACCACUGGAUUAUAAUUAUCUUGCUCAUGCGUCAUGAUUUGUUUGAUGCGAAAGUUAAUUAAGAUAAAAUGAACUAUUAUUAGGAUGUAAUAUGGUUUUAAAUGAGAAAGCUGACGUAUGUUAUCUUAUCUGUCUUGAAUUAACUUGUUCAGGAAAUGAAUGACCUUAGUUUUUUCAUAUAAACUGAAAAGAAAAGAAUGGUCCUGCGUUGGUUAUUUAAUGAAUAAUAUAUUUAUUUCAUUUGAUAAAGGUUCCAAAUUCCUCUUUGUGAAUCUUUUGUUAUGCUGUUUGUUUCAUGUGAUUCAAUAACUCUUAGUCUCUUACAUAGUUUGAUAAAAUUUUUGCAGAGGAAUUGAAAAAGUUGCCGGCACCUGAGGUUGCUGUGAAUUAUUAUACAGGAGGUGACUUGUAUUUAUUUGGUAAGCUUUUCAUUCUUAUGAAUAUGACCUAAGGUUGUUUACUGGUGAAAAAAACUGGAAUUUUACACUUGUGUGAUUUUCCUCAGAUGAGUUUCAAACUUCCAGAGUUCCAAAUACUAGAAGGCCUAAGAUAGGUAUGUCUCGAAACCUGGUCCACCAUUCAUUGCUACGCUGAAUCUGUUGUGUAGUUUCUCAUUUCAAAAAUUGAUUCUGAUGAAAGAAAAAUUGAUCCAAACAUGCUAUUAUUUAUCAUUAUGCACAUUGUUUAUCAAUUGCGUGGUAAAUUGGUCAUGUCCUAAAGUGGAAAUAUUGUACUCAAAACUCCUUUACCCUUAUAAUUUUAUUAUGAUUUCAGGUUAGGUGAUUGUCUAAGGAACAAACUAAAUACUGCAAUUGAUUGCCUUGUACUUAUUCAUGCAGUGAAAUUUCUCAUAUUGAUGAUUAACGACAUUUUUAUCUCCCCUGUAGAGAAUCUGUACGACGUAUUUGUAAAUGUCCGAGAUGACGAAGCUGAACAUUGUAAGACAAUGAAGGCUUGUCAAACCCAUGGGAACCUCCGGUCACCUCAUUCAUAUGCAGAGGAUGAUGAAGACACAGUGUGUCCUCUUGAAGCAGAUUGUGAAGGAAUAGUAGACUGUAUAAAGAAAUCUGUCACUUCUAGUCCAGCUAAGGUGAAGUAAGAUACGGUUUAAUACAGAAUGCAUUCAUUUAAAAGAAUAAGGUUCGAGGCAUGAACAAUGAUUAUAGUUAGUGAAUAGAUGAAAAUUGUAUAAGCUUCUUCUAUAGUGAUUCUUUCUUUGAAAUGAGCGAGCAACCGCGACUUCUAAAUUUCAAUUGAUCAAGGUCAUAUAUGUACUUCAUAUUAAAUCAUAGUGAUACACAUUUAUUUACAAAUAUGUAAUGGGUCCUUUGCUAAAGAGCAUCGAAAGUAAUAUUGUAUUUUAAGUUAAGAGACAGGCUGGUUUAAUAUGCAAAAAAACCAAUUUUUUGUAAGGCUUCUUCUGUCUACCCUGUUUGAGUUUAGGUUUCCCUGUUUGAUUUAUGAUUUUGUUCUUCAUUUAAUGGAAACGUGUAAAAAGAGUAGAGUCAAUUAAUUUGUUGAAAUCCAUAUGACCAAUGUACAAAACCAACAAAGAAAUCAAAGGGACCAUAAUGUAAGAGAGAGAUCAUUGAAGGCAAGAGCUCAGAAAAUUAAGUGAAUAUAUCAUAUAUGCAUACCCUGCAUCUGAAUCAGACAGCUAUGAAGUAGAUACAUCUCUUCCUAUGCCUAAAUCCAAAUGUAACAAUUAACCCUGUCAAAAAAAAUGUAUAACAAUUAACAACAUUUGCUGGUGUUCUCAACUGAGAUGCACAUUUGUCUUAUCUCCUUCUAAACCGCAAUUUUGGUGGUGCAUACAAUGCGAUGCAAAUUAUAGCAUGUUUGUUCACACUGCUCUAGAGCCAUUUGUGAUCAAAAGCUACAAGUCUUAAUUUCUAAGUAAAUGUGUCUUGUAUUAUGUGCAAAUUGUAAAAUCAAACCUCCACUUAUUUCAUUGUUGAGUUAUAUCACUUAAUUGAUCCUUGUUUCAUAAGACAGUAGGAGCAGGCCAGGGAAGAAUAUGGUUUGGAUAGAAAAGUGUUGUUGCAGUCCCCAGCUCCAAUAACUUCAGAUGAUUAUAAAGAAUUAAUGAGUGGACAAUGCCACUAAUUAAGUAUAAGCAGAUAAGCUACAUUUUCCAUUCAUCUUAAAUAAUAAUCAUAGGAAACACAGCGGGGAGCUCUUUUAUUUUAGAGUAAAAUACACUCGUUUUUUCUUUUAUAUCUUAUAUAUCUAUCCCAUAUCUUUUAUCUCUAUCUUCAAUCUUCUAAUUCUCUUUCCCAUCUUCUAUUUUUAUAUCACUAUCUUCUAUUCUUAUUUCUCUAUCUUUUCUCUCUUUUAUUUUAUUUUGCUAUCUUUUUUAUCUUCUUUCCCUUCUUUAUUAUUCUUAUUAUUAUUAUUACUAGAUUUUCUUUUUACUAACUCUUUUUUUCUUUUAUUUUUGCUGGUUUCGUUCAAUUUUUUUUUCUUACCAGAUUCUUUUUUUUUCUUUUGUUACUAACAUUUUUUUUUUGUCUUUCACUCAUUAAUUGUUGUUUAAUGAUUUUUAAAUAAUUAAUUCUUUAAAAGGAACUUANNNNNNNNNNNNNNNNNNNNNNNNNNNNNNNNNNNNNNNNNNNNNNNNNNNNNNNNNNNNNNNNNNNNNNNNNNNNNNNNNNNNNNNNNNNNNNNNNNNNNNNNNNNNNNNNNNNNNNNNNNNNNNNNNNNNNNNNNNNNNNNNNNNNNNNNNNNNNNNNNNNNNNNNNNNNNNNNNNNNNNNNNNNNNNNNNNNNNNNNNNNNNNNNNNNNNNNNNNNNNNNNNNNNNNNNNNNNNNNNNNNNNNNNNNNNNNNNNNNNNNNNNNNNNNNNNNNNNNNNNNNNNNNNNNNNNNNNNNNNNNNNNNNNNNNNNNNNNNNNNNNNNNNNNNNNNNNNNNNNNNNNNNNNNNNNNNNNNNNNNNNNNNNNNNNNNNNNNNNNNNNNNNNNNNNNNNNNNNNNNNNNNNNNNNNNNNNNNNNNNNNNNNNNNNNNNNNNNNNNNNNNNNNNNNNNNNNNNNNNNNNNNNNNNNNNNNNNNNNNNNNNNNNNNAUUUUGUUGUCAUUGUUAUGUUUAUCUCAUUUCAAUUUCAAUAUAAUGCAUUCCUUAAAAACUUGAUUCUUAUUACUAUUCAAAUGUUGACAUUGUGAGGUCUAUACAACCUCAUCAAAUUAAUAUAUUUAUUGUGGUCCAUUCAUCUACAUGUUUGUAACAUAUGUUCGGUUUCAUAUCUGUUCUACUUACUAAAAAGAGCCUAAAUUAAGUCAAAACAUAUUUCUACUGAUUCAUCUUUACAAUAAAUUUAAUCGCCGUGCAACGCACGGGUAAAGAACACUAGUGACAUUUCAAGAUGCACUCUCAUCCCACCCCCCUCACUGGCUGACAAGUGUCACAGCCACAACAAUUCUCACAAAUUUAUUAAAUGCAUUGAUUUCCCUAUAAUUUGGUUUGGUUGUCCCCCAUUAAAUGUGAUUUUCAAAAUCAUUUCCUAUAAAUCAACCUUCUUAUUGCUGAUUUCAUCACAUAUUCAAAAUGUGUUUUUGCCAUCCUUUUUCUGCAAGUACGAAGUUUCAACCUUCUCAUAUCAAAAGGUAUUUUUUCGCACUUUCUAUUCAAUUGACCUGUUACAUCUGAUUUGAUUCCGUUAACUACACUGAGUUGUUGUCCUUUUUAAUUGUAGUUCAUGAUUGCCAACAAAAUGUAUUGAAAGUUGUUAAGGAGGAGAAAUAAGCUUUCCGUUCAUGGUUCUCAUAUUUGUUAUCCAAGUAAUACAAGAAUAAAGAUUGAUUAUAAAUCAUCUAUCUUUUGUUACUGCUUUUUACAUUUUAAGUUAGUUUUGACAUUUAUUUUUGUUUUNNNNNNNNNNNNNNNNNNNNNNNNNNNNNNNNNNNNNNNNNNNNNNNNNNNNNNNNNNNNNNNNNNNNNNNNNNNNNNNNNNNNNNNNNNNNNNNNNNNNNNNNNNNNNNNNNNNNNNNNNNNNNNNNNNNNNNNNNNNNNNNNNNNNNNNNNNNNNNNNNNNNNNNNNNNNNNNNNNNNNNNNNNNNNNNNNNNNNNNNNNNNNNNNNNNNNNNNNNNNNNNNNNNNNNNNNNNNNNNNNNNNNNNNNNNNNNNNNNNNNNNNNNNNNNNNNNNNNNNNNNNNNNNNNNNNNNNNNNNNNNNNNNNNNNNNNNNNNNNNNNNNNNNNNNNNNNNNNNNNNNNNNNNNNNNNNNNNNNNNNNNNNNNNNNNNNNNNNNNNNNNNNNNNNNNNNNNNNNNNNNNNNNNNNNNNNNNNNNNNNNNNNNNNNNNNNNNNNNNNNNNNNNNNNNNNNNNNNNNNNNNNNNNNNNNNNNNNNNNNNNNNNNNNNNNNNNNNNNNNNNNNNNNNNNNNNNNNNNNNNNNNNNNNNNNNNNNNNNNNNNNNNNNNNNNNNNNNNNNNNNNNNNNNNNNNNNNNNNNNNNNNNNNNNNNNNNNNNNNNNNNNNNNNNNNNNNNNNNNNNNNNNNNNNNNNNNNNNNNNNNNNNNNNNNNNNNNNNNNNNNNNNNNNNNNNNNNNNNNNNNNNNNNNNNNNNNNNNNNNNNNNNNNNNNNNNNNNNNNNNNNNNNNNNNNNNNNNNNNNNNNNNNNNNNNNNNNNNNNNNNNNNNNNNNNNNNNNNNNNNNNNNNNNNNNNNNNNNNNNNNNNNNNNNNNNNNNNNNNNNNNNNNNNNNNNNNNNNNNNNNNNNNNNNNNNNNNNNNNNNNNNNNNNNNNNNNNNNNNNNNNNNNNNNNNNNNNNNNNNNNNNNNNNNNNNNNNNNNNNNNNNNNNNNNNNNNNNNNNNNNNNNNNNNNNNNNNNNNNNNNNNNNNNNNNNNNNNNNNNNNNNNNNNNNNNNNNNNNNNUUAAUAGGAAAGCGGAAAGCUCGCACUUAGUAUCAACACAUGCGCUGCGAUGCACACAACAAGUUCAUCGCUCGCGAGGUCCGCAGUCAAUGUUGAAUGUCAGCACAUACCAUGCUGCACCUUCCCGCGGGGAACGAUAAUACCCUGUUCCAACUAUCGACAAUAGAAGUAAUCGUCUCGCCGCUUGUGGACUUGUGGACUUGCCCGCUCGGAUUGCUCGUCAAGUCAGUGGACUGGGUAACCAAAAUGCUAGUUUCCUUUUGCUCACGCCAUGUUGGCGAUAUAGUUUACUUCUCUUUUCUCAAGCCAUGUUGGCAGUGCAGAUUCCGGUGUACUGUAAGACAUAUGUAAAAGCAUUUAAAAGACACACUUAGCUCUCAUACCUCGAGCUCGGUGUCUUGUGGACUAGUGGACUGGGCGAGCCCCUAGAGGGGCAACGCCCAGCAUGUAUCUCGCCCUGAGGCGGGGCCCUGGCCUUCAGAUGGGCCUUGACCUCGGAGGCCCAAUUGGCCCAAUAGGUAGUACCCAAGCUCUAUAAAUAGGAGGUAGUUAUCAAGUAUAGGGGACUUUUGGCUCAUUUGAUGAAAUAACACUUGAAAUUCAGCACUCUCUCUCACUCUCAUUCUCUCUUGGCACAAUCCCUCUACCUCUAGGUACUAUGCCUCUCUUCAAUGUUCAUUCCCAGAACAGAAACUAUACCUCAUUCAUUUAUUCUAGUAGACCAAGCACCUCACGUAAUAAUCAUCUGUUAUUUGUUGCAUUUCGCAUUUUAUUUGCUAAGAUAAUAUUUCAUGUUGCAAGUGCAACCAAUCUAUGAAGCUAAUAAUAUACUAAUUGAGAAGGUGACUAGAACAAUCAUAAAUUUGUUUUUGGGCUUUUCAUUGGAAUAAAUAUCAUCUAAUUAAUCAUGAAAUUUUGUUAGUACAAUUAAUCAUGAAAAUAAGUUAAAAGAAAAAUAAAAGUAUUUGUUUAGUCUAAAUUUAUAUUUGUAAACUUAAAUGUUAUUGAUAUUCCUAUACAACAUUGUGAAAAUAUUUAAUUGUAAAUAUCUUAAACUUCUUGAAAUAAAAAGUAAUAAACGGAAUUUUUUAAUUUUAUUAUUAUUUAAAUAUUUAAAUUUAUUAGUUUGAAAUUAAAGAGAAUAUUCUGUUAGCAUCUUUUAACAUGUAGUUAACUUGUUAGAUUGAGUGGGAUGAAGUGUAGAUUUUGGUUAAGAAUGGGGCUGGGUUCAUUUUGGCAAACCUCAAAGGAGGGGAGUGUAUUUUACUCUUUAUUUUAACUAUUGUUUGCAUCAGAAAAAAACUGAAUGCCACUUUUUGCAAUUUCAAGACCUUUUUGAACUCAUUUUAAAACAUCAAUUUUUUUUUAUGUUAUCCUAAUAUGUCAUUAGUUUUAGAUGCUGUAUUGAUAAACCACUCAUUUUGAAAUUCCCCAUAUAGUUUUUAUAACAAUAACGAUUUUUGGAGCCCACUAGAGCGGACCACCACUUUAGAAUACUUUUAUAACGUUUUUUUUUUACAAAAUUGAAAGUUAGAUUUAUUUUUUUCUACUUUCCAUUUUGUGGCAAUAAAAAACCAUUAUAAAAGUGUGGUGUCAAAAAGUCACUACUAUUUAAUGGUUUACCUAUUUCCUCUGUUUUUAUAAACCUAAGUGAACAGUAACAUCAAACUGCAUUAGUUACUUCAUUAAUCAGCUACAUUCCAAUUUAAAUUUGCUUAUAGUUUAUGGAAGAUUCUCAUUAAGAUAAGUGUUUGUCUUUUAAUAAUAAAUCAUUUUAAAGUUUGUAAAGAAGUAAAACGAAUUUUUUUCCUUUUGUAAAAAAAAAAAAAACAAAUGAGCUUACCGCUGAGUGUGAGGUGGGAGAUAAUACAACUGAUCAACGAAAAAUAUGAAGAGAUUUCAAAUAUUUGGGUUUGUUAUAUUUAACAAGUUGGAUAGAAGUUAAUAAUUUUUUUGGGUAUUUCGCUAUUUAUCUUUUUUUUCCAUGAAUAAAAGUUUCCAUCACGGGUCAGGGUAUAUCUUUGAGACCAUAUGUCACUUAUAAAGGUACUUAUAGAUUGUACAUUAACAAAACUUUACAUCAAUUGUGAAAAUUAAACACAAUUUUCAAUGAGGUAGUGAUCUAUCAAGUGUGUUAAUAUUUCGCUACUUUUCCUACCGGUUGGCAUGUAGGAAAAGUACAUGAGAAGGGUUGGCCUCAUGCUUCCUUAAUUAACAGUAAGAAUAAUGAUUUUUCUUCUAUUUGUGAAAAAUAAAUGUUAUUUACAUGACUUAUAAAUUAUAAUUAGUAGUGCUACAUUAUUUUCAAAUUCAAGUACUAGAUUGUUUAAGCCAAACUUCCUUUAUGCUGAGCUACUUUUUCCUUAUUCUUUAAUUUCGUGAAGAAGCCCAUGACCAUUUGGUGGUUUCCAAAUAAGAAGAAGCUUUGAUACCAACUUGAGAUCCCUAAAUGAUUAAAGUUCUACUUUGGUAGCUGUCCAAUUGUUCAUAACCUGCCAUUAUUAGGCGCCUUUCGGUUCCUCAAAUUAAAACUUAGAAUUUAAAGCAAUUAUCAAUUAAAUGGGACUAUCUCCUCCUUUUAGAACUAAACUGCUAUGAAAUUCAAAAAAAAAAAAAAAAAAAGAACUAAACUGCUAUGAAGAUCAAUUGAAGUUCAUUUUUUGACAUAAAAUAAACAAGAAAGGUACAAAGCACUUAUGGAAGGAGAUAGAUCUUUAAUUGAGAUCUAACCAAUUGUUAAACCUAACCUAUCAUGAUUAAGACCAAUGCCAAUUAAAAUUCAGUUUACAAGGGAAACAAUGUUAUUCAUGAUGAGAACUGUUUUGCCUUUACAAUACAUAUGCAAAACCAAAACCCCAGACAUGGUACAAUCCAGAGUUGGGAACAGGACAUGACAAAAUAUAGGAUUACUGUCCCUCUAUAUAUACCACACACAUUUUAUGUGGAUGUUAAAGUUUACUUAACCCAACUGCAUGCCCAAAAUAAAUCCAACUAGCAAGAAAAGAAUGAAAUCAAUCAUGACCUACAACAAUUCCAUUCCAAAAUCAAGAGAGAUUUUCAAUAUGUUCUCUGGCCGUGUCCCUACUUGCUAGCAAAAAUAUAGAUUAUGAAAAAGGUUCGUGUAUCGUUAAUAGUGGAGAUAUCAAUCUGACACACUUUUAUGGUGGUUUUUAACUGCCACAAAAUCAUAAAGCUACUUUUUUUUUCCUUCUAUUUCUCCUAUGUGGCGGUUAGAAACGGCUAAACAAUAGGUGUCCGAGUGAUCUACCACUAUUUGAUGGUUCAUCAACCAUUAAAGUAUAGAUUAUUAAUAUGUAGGAGUGGUCACAGCAGCUAGGCCACAUCACAAACUUUAACUAUAUCCUCAUUAUUCUGUCUUGACCUUAUAAAUAGUUUAUUCUGUUUGAUUGUGUGUUUCUUCAAGGUUAAUUAACUUUAAUUGGCAUCUCUCCUAUUAAUUUAUUCAUUUCUUAAAAUAUAAUUUGGUGCAACUUAGGUUAAGUAACUUCGUUCUAAUAGCAACUGGUUCUCAUACAUCUAAUAUAUAGAUUGUGACAGUUUUUUUACACUCACAAUUUACAAAGUAUUUUAAAAUAUGAUCUUAAUUGACAGUUUUGAAAAGCUAUAUUAACCAUUACAAAAUUUACGUGUCUAAUUGUUGGAGGUAAAAAUCUCACUAAACGUGUUUUUUUUUACUCUAGUCGCCGUUGAAAAGCAUUAUAAACUCGUAUGCCAAUUGAAUGUCGCAUGCUUCCAUGGUCUACGUACAAGGACUUUAUAAUAGUUUUAUUUAUGAAAACUUACAUAAAAAGUGAGUGGGGGCAAUUCAAUAGUACUCCUAACAUUUGUAAAUACAUGUCCAUAUGUGUUAAAAUUUAACUUGCUUAGAAGUCCUUUUAACUACUAAACCAGAUUUUUCUCUAACACACUUAUUGUUAUUGUUCCUACUACAAGAAAGUUACUUAAUGUGGGAUAGGUUUAAAAACUUUGUGAUGCAUUAAAUAACACUAAAUUAUUACAAAAGCAUAAUAAAGCCAAGAAAGAAUUACGAGGAGACAGUUCCUUGUGUUUACUUUCCAAAACAGCAGCACAUCACUAGAUUGCAUCAACUUCACACACGACAUCACUGAUCACAGACAAACUUAGAUCAAGCUAAUAAUUUAUUUUAAAGUAUAAGGUUUAGAGGCUGCACAUGCUUCAGCUCAAUUCUAUACCGAUUAUCAAAGAUACCAAAAGCACUAAUCGGUAAGCUUAGUAGCCUUAAUUAGCUUAUUAACAUAUAAUUAACCUCCCACACACAUAAUAAUUAAUAUAUCAUCUAAUAAUUAACUCCAUAUAUCUAUAUUGCUCUGGCUCAGGCAGCUAGCUCAGACUGUGGCUACGGGUCCCACCUCCACAACACUACUGGACCUGGCCUUCAUAACUUCAAACCUUGGUUCUUUAGCCUGGAACUUGACACCAAGAUAGAGCUUCAUGUAAUCCUCAAAAACAAACUUUGGGUACACUUGGCUUGUCUCAUCUUCCUUCACCAAAGAAGGUGCUGGAGAAAUGACAGCAUCAUCCCCUGGAUUGUAGAAUGAAGCUAGAGACAUUCUGGCACCAUCUGUUUGAGCAAUCACCCUGUGCAUCACACUCUUGUACUUCCCAUUGGUUAUGACCUGUCAUCAAAUAACAGAAAAAAACAACAACCUGUCAAAUUAUACAACAAACUAAAAAACUUAUGGGCAAUACUAUGCUAGUCCACCAACCAUAUAUGUUAUUUACAGUAUAUGCUCUUUAUGCGUUAAUUAGAAUUAAUUUAUAAAUAAACUCUUUUAAUUUGUGAUAAAACUUAUGUAUGAACCUCAAGUUGGUCGCCGAGGUUGACGACAAUGGAGUGACGCAUAGGGGGGACAUCAAUCCACUGGUCAUCCUUGAGGAGCUGCAGUCCACUGACUUUGUCAUCUUGGAAGAGGAGGAUGAUGCCACCAGCAUCAGUGUGAGCUCUGAGGCCCUUGAUGAGAUCAGGCUUGGGACAAGGAGGGUAGUUGCUAACUUUGGUCCCAAAAUUUGGUCCCUUGGAACCAUAGAACACCUUCUUCAGGUACCCUUUCUCCAGCCCAAGAUUCUCACACAGCAAGUCUAGAAGAUUCUCUGCCAGUUUCUCCAACUUCACUGCAAAUUCCUUCAUCACCUUCCUGAAGCAAAAAGUACCCCCCAUGAGAGAAAGAUCAAGCUUCUAUUCUAUAAAAAUAAGCUAACAUGUGCAAAGACAUGUUAUAAUUAACAAAUAGUAAUUAGUAUCUCUCAGAUUAGUCACUGCUGCUUGAGCAAAAAAAUAGUAAUUAGUAUAACCUGUAAUCUUCAUCAAGAUCUGGAACCUCUGAAAUGUUGGAGGAUGGAAGGUGGCGCAAAAAGAAGGUGCUUUCCCAGUCCAAGUCAUCGAUUUCUGACUGAACAGUCUCAAGACCCUUGGUGGCAACCAUUUCUUUAAACCUUUGCUCCAUGAACCUUUUGUAGUGCUCCUUUGUGAGCCUUUCCACAGUGUCCAUAAACUCAGUGGAUAUCUCAUGGUUCACCAGCUUCAUCAGAAAAAGAAGAAAAAUUAAGGAAACAUACAUAAAAGGUAUAUAUAUCAUUAGCCAAGUUUUUUUCAGCAACGUGUGCAAGAGAAAUAUAAUACUAACCUCAAAGAAACCCCAGUUCUCACAAGCAUCUUUUAUCAACUCCAUGGUUGCUACUCUCUCUUCGGUGUUAAGCUUGGACAUGUCAACAACUGGAAAGUUUGCCAUUUUCUUCUCUUCUCUCUCUCUCGCUUUAAUCAGUUGUAGGGAUUGGUGAGUGUGCAAUUCUCAGAGGUGUAAUGUGAUGUAUUUAUAGGCCUCCAACUUCAAGGCAACCGCUAAGAACGGAAAAAUUCUCAUUUAAUUAAGAAAAAGCAUGUUGUCUUAAUCUCUACAAGACUACGAGUUGUUACGUAUAUAGGGAUGUCAAUGGGUACGGCUGAGCAUAGAUAGUAUAUACCCACCACCCGUUUUACAUGUAAAAAUUUAUAUCCAUACCCGCUUCAUACCCACAUAGAUAUCCAUUUAGUGGGUUUUAACUGAAUUUUAAACUAUCCGUGGAUAUCCAUGGGCACCCGACACUCAUGAACAUAAAUGAAUUCACAUAUAUUUGUUCAAAAUAAAAUUAUGUUAAAUAUAAAAUUUAACAUUGGACUUUACAGUCAAUUAAUGUGUAAAGGAAAAUACUUCUUUUCUACUCUUUUUUGGGUCUAAGGGAUUCUUUUUACCAUUACCAUUGUAUAAGUUUACUUGAAAGAGAACUAUAACUCAAACACAAAUUCAUUAUAUAUUUAAUAUACAUCUAUGUAUACAUAUUGAAGAUAUUUUAGUAUUUUAUAUAUUGGGUGGGUAUCCGUGGGUAUGGAUACAUCAAUAUCCGUACCCGCCCCAUUAAUAAAUGGAUAGUGAAAAUAUUCAUGAAAUAAAUCCGUGGAUACCCGUGGGCAUGGGUAAUUUUACCCAUAUCGUGUUUUAUCUGCGGGUAUCCACGAGUGUGGGUAAUUUUGACAUCUCUAGUUACAUACAUAAUCCCAAAAAAAGGAAUUACUGUGUACUGAUAAAUUAAUUUAAUAACACACCUAAAAAUAAUUAGCCACUGUGAAAUACUUUGAAUUCUAAACUCACUUAGAAAUAUAGUUAUUCAUAUUAUUUUUAUCCACCAUAAAAGUUUUUGAGAUAACUGGUUCAUAAAAUAAAAAAUAACAAAUUACAAAUUUAAACUGUGAAGAAUUGAAUAGAUAAAAUAAUGAUACAUAUAUUUUUAAAGAUUAAAAUGGAAUUAUCAAUAAGUAACUAAUAUUCUUCAUUUCAACACAAAAACUAAUAUUCUCUUAAAAAUUCCAUAUGACCAUAUCAACUGACACUAGCUCUGUCUGUUAUCAAUCUUGCAAGUAGUUCACGGACUCUCCCACACACUGACAUGGAAUUGUUUUUGGCCAAUCAUGAAACUUUAACUAUAACCAACCCAUGGGCGUCCUCAGUGUGCAGCCAAUUUAUUGAACCUAGUUUUUAGUUGUGAAUAAUUGGGAAUUUACAACUAAGAUGUCAUAUUUUAACCCUUUCUAACUAAAUAAAGUAGGGUUAAAUAUGUUUUUGGUUACUCUAAAAUAGUAAGUUUUCAUUGGUCUAGUUUUGAAAAAAUUCUCUGAUUUUGGUCUCUAUAAAAUAGAGAAUUAUUGAUUUUCCUUCCUCCAUCCAUUUUGUGGCGGUGGAUGGAGGGACCAAAAUAAAAAAUUAAUUAUUUUAAGAAGACUAAAAUGAAUGAACAAUUUAAAGGGGGACCAAGUUCAAUAAUUUGUUAUAUUACGGGACCAAAAACAUAAUUAACCCAAUAAAGUAUAUUUUCUCUCACUAACGAAGUGCCCAAGUAAAAAAAUGCUACUUCGGAACCGAAAAUUUGAGAGUUCUAAGUAUAAUCUAUUACUUGAAAAUAUUGAUGGCAUUUAGUGCAGUGUACCACUUUAUUUGUUUUAGCUACCGUUUCUAGAUUGAAAUGGGUGAUUUGGGUUCAAGAGUGUUGAAUCUAAGCCUAUGAGAGAUCUGGCUAGACUCAAGGACAAUAGGCUUAUUCUCUUUGAAUGGGCUACCUAGCUUGCCCUCCUUCAUGUGUGUUGGUGAUUUUAGUAUCAUCAAUGGAUUUUAGUAAUAAUGUGAUUUAUUGUAGGCCGAUGCGAUUACGCGUUAAACUCGGAAACGAGUUAGGGUAGUGCGGAGUGCACGCUUGUUGAGCCAACGCAUAAUUGACCACGAUUAGAUUGCGGAGUUCCAAGGGGCACAGCCCGGUGCGGGGCAGCGCCCCGCUCUCAAUUUUUCAAAAAGUUAACUGUUUUAUUAACCGUUUUCGGUUUCUGAAACAAACUCCAAUAUAAGGAGUCAUUUGGCCUCAGAUACAUAUACAGAAAACAGAAACCAUAUAUUCUCUCGACAUUCCUGAUCUGUUCUCUAUUGCCAGAAACAGAUUGUUCUUCAAGAAUUAUCCCAACAAGGAUUUCGUGAACCCAGGCAAGAAUAGGGUCGAAAUACUUUGUUCGAAAAGUGUACGAACACAAUGCUUCGAAUUUAUCCAGGAUUAUCAUACUCAAAUUUCUAACAAUGUGUACAUAGGCGACCUCUUCACAAGUUGCUUAAACGAUUAUGAUUUAGAUAUUUUAUAAUAUUGAAUAGGUCAAGACAUGUGUUAGGAGCGGUUACGCAAUAAUCUAAGAUUAUCAAAGUAUAUAAGGGGUGAAUUACUUUAGGGAACGUUAUGUUCACUAAAAUAUUGAAAAGUCUAAUUUUCUCUCAUUCUUUGACAGGUCCUGAUAUAAUUGUAAGUUCAAAUCAAUUACUCUGGAUUUAGAUUUAGAAGAAACCAUUGAUGGUUUCAGAACUAAAAAGAGGAGGAUGCUUUCAGCAAUUGAGUAGUGCAUGCCACUUGAAAGAAUAUAGAAAUAAACAAAGUUGGGUGGGAAACUUUAAUCUCGGGAAAAGGAAAUUAAAGACAGAAGAGAAAAAUGAUAGGAAGCCAAGUUUAAUCUCAAAGUUCUAAAAGACAGAGAGCACAGCAACUCGUGGAGAAUGUAUGUAAGCACAUAUUGAUGGACCCCUACGUACCAUCUUUUGUCACUGAGGAUUUGAGUUAUCUUCAUUUUUAGUAGGGAAUGGAAUGGGUCCUGCUUGGGUGGCUCUUCAACCAUCUCUUGGUUUCCUCAUAAAUUGACCCAAUUGCGGGUACGAAUCAAAAGAUCUUCUGUUUCUAAAUUGAUUAUAGUCUCACAAGUAAUAUUUUAUCAUGUCAAUUAAAAAAAUAAGAGGAUACAAUUAUGAACUUGAAUGACAAUUUUUAAUUGUUCACGCUCGUGUUGUUAGCCAUAGCGUUCCUUCUGAGGGUAAAACGGGUCAGCACCAAGCCAAGAAAUAGAAUGCAACAUACUCACUUGUUAUAAUUAAGAAGCAAUUCAAACAAGUUAAUACAUCAGAAGGCCCCUGAAAUUGUAAAGGGAAUCAGUUUGAGGACCUGUAAAAUUUUUGCAUCAAAUUGAGUCCUUAAAUUUUUUUUUUUUAAUUCAAUUAAGGCCAAAGUGUGUCAACCGGUGAUGUAGCUCGAUUUUUAACCCACUCAGCAUUUCCACCUGGCUUUUUCGUUUUUUUAAUACAAUUAAUUCCAAAUCUUUAUUUUUAUACCAACUCAUAACUUAAAAAAAAAAACUUAAUCUAACCUAAUAACUUAAAAAAAACCAACUCUAAUCAAAUACUAAUCUCUAAUCUAAUAUGAGAAUCCCCAAUUAAGCACUGACUAUUCAUCUUCAUUCUUCAACCCCAAUUUCAACCCUAGAGUGGAAGAAGAUAGAACCAUCUUCUCCCCAGACCCCUAGUUCUCUAUCUUCAGCCGCCACCCCUUCCUCUCCCCUCACCUUCUCUCAUCUUCCCCUUUCUCUUUCUUUUCCUCUCUUUCUCCCAAGGCCAUGGUUGAAUGAUUGUGGUGCCUUUAAGCAACCCCAACAUCAGAAGAAAGAGAUGAAGGUGUGGUGGUCUCGAUCUAGUUCGAUCCGUGUUCGCUGGGUCUCGAUCUUGGGCUUAAACUCGCGACGGUGACUUUGGCUCCGGUACGGCUGGGUCUUGUAAGGUUUGUAAGAGGUCUGUGUUUUUCUUUGNNNNNNNNNNNNNNNNNNNNNNNNNNNNNNNNNNNNNNNNNNNNNNNNNNNNNNNNNNNNNNNNNNNNNNNNNNNNNNNNNNNNNNNNNNNNNNNNNNNNNNNNNNNNNNNNNNNNNNNNNNNNNNNNNNNNNNNNNNNNNNNNNNNNNNNNNNNNNNNNNNNNNNNNNNNNNNNNNNNNNNNNNNNNNNNNNNNNNNNNNNNNNNNNNNNNNNNNNNNNNNNNNNNNNNNNNNNNNNNNNNNNNNNNNNNNNNNNNNNNNNNNNNNNNNNNNNNNNNNNNNNNNNNNNNNNNNNNNNNNNNNNNNNNNNNNNNNNNNNNNNNNNNNNNNNNNNNNNNNNNNNNNNNNNNNNNNNNNNNNNNNNNNNNNNNNNNNNNNNNNNNNNNNNNNNNNNNNNNNNNNNNNNNNNNNNNNNNNNNNNNNNNNNNNNNNNNNNNNNNNNNNNNNNNNNNNNNNNNNNNNNNNNNNNNNNNNNNNNNNNNNNNNNNNNNNNNNNNNNNNNNNNNNNNNNNNNNNNNNNNNNNNNNNNNNNNNNNNNNNNNNNNNNNNNNNNNNNNNNNNNNNNNNNNNNNNNNNNNNNNNNNNNNNNNNNNNNNNNNNNNNNNNNNNNNNNNNNNNNNNNNNNNNNNNNNNNNNNNNNNNNNNNNNNNNNNNNNNNNNNNNNNNNNNNNNNNNNNNNNNNNNNNNNNNNNNNNNNNNNNNNNNNNNNNNNNNNNNNNNNNNNNNNNNNNNNNNNNNNNNNNNNNNNNNNNNNNNNNNNNNNNNNNNNNNNNNNNNNNNNNNNNNNNNNNNNNNNNNNNNNNNNNNNNNNNNNNNNNNNNNNNNNNNNNNNNNNNNNNNNNNNNNNNNNNNNNNNNNNNNNNNNNNNNNNNNNNNNNNNNNNNNNNNNNNNNNNNNNNNNNNNNNNNNNNNNNNNNNNNNNNNNNNNNNNNNNNNNNNNNNNNNNNNNNNNNNNNNNNNNNNNNNNNNNNNNNNNNNNNNNNNNNNNNNNNNNNNNNNNCUUGACCUGAUUACGAAUUCGUCUUGGGUGUUCUCUUGGCGUUAUGGUCUUAAGACCAAAACCCAACCAAUCCUUUACAAACAGGCUCUCAUCAAAUGGUGGAAAAUCUUUGAUGCGACAAAAGCCCACAAAGAAAAUGUGAGCCAAUGGUUCAAAACCAAUCAGAAAUAACUCAAGCAUGCAAGUCCGCAAACCAGCCUCUUGCUAAAUCAAAAGGCCCACAUCACAGCGGCCCUUGCAGGAGCUUCAACAGAAGAAGACUUGCUAAGAAAUCUUCAAUCUGCUCUUCAAUUAUUGAAGGAGCCAAUUGAGCAGGCCUCAUCUUCAAAGGCCCCUCAACACAAAGUCUCCGAGCCAUCCUCUCUUGGGUCGUCAGAUUUUGUCCAAACCACAGAAUCAGAUGAUGAUGACUUCUGCUAAGUUUGUCGUCUUGUAAUCAUUUUGUUCUGUAAUAAUUCAAUUUUUGUACUGUAGCAACAGUAAAAUUGACUUUUUACUGUAGCAAAUAGUGCUUAUCAAAUAGUACCGUCUACCGGAACUAUUCAACCGGAACUAUUCAAACAGUGUCCAAUCUUUUCUUUAAAUAGGCUCAUUCUGAACCUUGUUAAUCAGAGUUUGGUAGAGCUUAGAUAGAGAGUUUAGAGAGAGAAACACUGAGAGAAUUCCUUCUGUAAGUUCUCCUUCAGUUUUCCUUUCUUUCAAUCUUUUCUGUUUUUAAGUUUCAGUUUUUCAGUUUUUAAGUUUCAAUUUUGUAAUCUAUGUUUAUGUAAUAUAUAUCUUGUUCAAGUUUUAUUUUUCUGUUUAUGGAAGGCUGAGCCUCCUGUUUUAAUUGUUCAAGUUUUAUUUUGUUUAGUUUCUGCAAUCUAUUUUUCUGCAAGAAGCCCCUCCGUGGUGGCGUCCUACUUCUCUUAAUCCUCUUCUCAUCCCCCUCCUUCUGCUUCCGACCCCCUCUUGGUAUCAGAGCCUGAUGGGGAAGUAGGAACAUGCUAAAUAUGUAUAUAUAUAUAUAUAUAUAUAUAUAUAUGAUGACUAGUGUAAGAAAAGUUUGUUGAUUGUAGGUAGUGUUGCCUUGUUUUUUACAUAGUAUGGUGCCAUAUGGCGAGCGCUUGGUGAAGAUACACUAUGUCUUCGUGCUUUAGGCUUAGUGUCAUGGAAUUGUGGAGUGGACAUGAGUGACCUAUCCUCUCUUCUAGUUGAUGCCUUUAUUGGGUCAUAGUGGGUGAAAGAUGCAUCGAGAUAUUCGGGCGACUAGGGACUUCAUUAUUUGGCGAGCGACCACUCCUUGGUGACUCCUUCAUUCCUAUGAGCCAUUAUCUGGUGUGUGACUCCACUAUCUAACGAGUGGCUCCCAUAUCUAGCGAGCGAUUUCACAUCUGGCAAGCCAUUAGCCGCGACCUCCUCAUCAUUCAGCCAAUCUCUUUCUUGUGUCGUGAUCCUGCCUUGUUUAUGUAUAUUAGCCACUUCUUAGGAAAUUCAUGUAUUAUUGAGAGUUUUUCUGACCUCAUGACUUAUUAACGAUUUAUGUAUGUUUUAUGCCCAUUUUGACAUGGGUCUAUACUUUAGGGAGAUUUACAACUAUGGUUACACCCUUAUCCCCUUAAAAGGUAAAUAUUGUAAUGCUCAUGUUCAUCAUGAUAGUAAAACGGCUAGACUUAGGGUUCCUGUUCCUCUAGUGGGAGCUUUGAAUUUGGUCUAGGUUUACACUGCAACAUUUUUUACUUUGAGCACACUAGUUUAUGCAACAGGUAAAAAUUGUUUGAAAAUGUAUUUGGAACUAGUUUGUGCUUGUCGUUGUAAAUGUUUCAUUUUAGGUAACAGAACAAAUCAUUAAUUAUGUGAUAGAAAUCAGUUAUUACGUGAUAAUUGUUGCAUGUUGCACACAAUUGGUUACAUUUUCUUAGUGCCUGUUUGGCAUCCCGUUAGAAACUGGUGUUUGAAUUAACGUGAUUUUGUUAAAAUGAUUUUGAGUAAAAGUGUGUUCGAGUAAACGUGAUUUAUGUUUGGAUGAUUUGUAACAAACGUGAUUUUAAAAUAAUGAAUACCGUUUGGAUGAUUUUAACAAACGUGAGUAUUUUCACCCAUCAACGCUGAACGCCCAACGCCAACGCUCAAAUUUUUAGAUUCCAAAAAAACGUGAUUUUGAUGCAAAAAAAGCGUUAACGCGUUAAGAAAAACGCAGAUCCAAAUGGCUUGGCGAAACGACAAAACGGCGUUUACGGCAACGCAACGCACGUUUGGCCUCUCCAACGCCAAUCCAAACAUGCCCUCUCCAACGCCAAUCCAAACAGGCCCUUAGUGUUGUCAUAGAAUAUGAGAAACUAUUAGCAAAGCGAAUAGAUAAUGGUGAGACAUGACACUGUUGGAAAAACUGCGAAAUAAAGUACUUGAAAUAUUUUUCGUGUCUAUAGCUGCACUUUUUAAAAUGUUACAAAAAACAAAAGUGUUGUAGUGUCACAACGCGAACAAGGCUAUUUCCAUAACUUGAACUUGUAACAAUAUCACUAAUUUCUUGGGAAAAAUUAUGAAGAGGUAAUUAAUUUAUGGUAUUUUUUAAGCUGUAAUUAUAUAAAUGAAGCUGAUAAAGAUGUGUCAGUUUUAAAGGCUUUGCUUGAAAGUUGAAAGAGAUAUGUGUAUGACUGUCAAUUAGACAUUCUGUCAUUGUUAUUACAUUCCAAACGAAAACUUGUGCAUUUAGUCAUAUAUCAUCUCUUUUGGAAUCUAAGUUUCUACUCUGUUAAGUUAAAACCAUGCGUUCCAACUAAUUACAGGAAUAUAUGUUCACACUUUUAAAGUGUGACAGGCAUUCAAAUUUGUACCAAGAUCUCCGGCCUUAAAAAAUAUGACAAUAUUAUAGUUUGUCAAAUCAAUAUAUGAGAAUCAAAUCAUUCAUUAUGUUGUUUUGAACAGUCCCGUUAGGAAUCAGUAUAGUUAACAUGCGCAAUUUGAUUUGCUUCCAUCAAACAGUGGCCAUUAGGGAAUAUAAUCAAGUAUAGAAACACACAAUGAGGAAAAAGGUUAUUCUUUUGGAAUAUUUACAGGAAGUUUUAUAUUUUUCACUUUUGAGAUCAAAAUAUAUCAACAUUGCACUCAAGAACCAAACGACUUGCAAACAAGAUGCAAAAGAGAUUUCCAUCAGAACUUCUAAAGAAAGUUAGCGUUUAUUACAAAUUAAGAAUCCUAACUUAGAUUAUUAAUUUGAGCACGUCAAUUAAUAAUCCUCCAAUCACAAUUCAGAUAACCCCUCCUAUCUUGUUAUUCUAUAUAUAGCUAGUUCCCAACUUUCUGUUACAAUAGCCCUCUCAGAGUUAGUUACAUGUUUAAUCAGUUUAGGGGUAGCAUGUGGUAUUAACUUCCCAACAAAAUUUUAUUAAACGCGUGUAACACUCUAAUUAGCAAAACACAAUACUAGCCUCAUUCUAUCGAAAACAAUACCAAUAAGGUGUUAAUCUAAUUGUAGGCAAUUUAGGCUCGUUAAUUAUAAGGAUAAGAACAUACGUCCAAAUUUUUGAAAAGUCAUCUAUUAGAAAAGUCUGUCACAAUUUCGUGAACAAGAAAGAAUUAUGUUGAAAACCUCAUCCUUAUCCUUAUGGAUGCAUGUAGUUUGGCUAGUUUUUUCAAAGGAAGGCAGACAUCGAAUCAUUGCAUCCAAUAACUAGAGUCUUUGCGGUUUGAGAAUCCAAUUUGAAGCUAAUGUCAACAACAUGGUUACAUACAAAGAAUGUCCAUUUUUGGCAAAAAAAUCUUCAUGUAGUGCUGAAAGCUCAUGAGGAGCCUACUGAAUACUGCAAGAGUGUCACUCACUAUAUCUAUAAAGAACCAAUAAUGCUCUGCUGAGUACCAAAAGUUUUGGAGUGCUCUUCUCAGGAAAAACAAGAACAAUAUCUUGAAAUCUCAGGACACAAUAAAUUUGAUGCGAAAGAUGCAGAUUAAGAUUCCAGAUAUAACCUGGUGAAUCGACAUGAGCCAGAAAUGAGAAAGAGACCUUCACGUUUACAAUUGAUUCUGGAGUUCAAAUCAAUUAUGAGGAGGAGCUAAUUAUGUGAGUAGCUUCUAGUAGUUAGAAUUGAUUCCGGUGAAAGAAAAGUUGAUCUGGACAUACUAAUAAAGCCAAUAUGCUUUAAAUCUUUCUCAAUUAAGCUUGCAAACUACAUGAGAGGAUAUCAUGUCCCACUAACUUAUAAAACAAUAUAACCAAAAUACUGAAAGGUUUUUUCAUGUUCAAUAAUAUGUGCAUUCUUUGCAUCAGAUGGGAAAACGUCUACUUUUGAAAACAGGGGGAAUCACAUACUUCUGCACACUUUAAUGUUUAUCCAAUUAUGGUGCAUAAGUGCAAUACCCUUUAAUAAUUUUGUAAUCACGUUUGUACAGGUAUUAUCUCAUAUAUUAGUAGUAAGGCGUUUAGGAGUAGGGAAAUUUCAGAUCAUUACGAAAAUGAAUCAAAAUGAACUAUUAUUGAGAACUAAAAAAGAGAUGUGGAGAUAGAAAAAUUCUGAAAGUGUGAGAUGUUGAGAGAAUUAAAAGAUAGUAUAUAGUAAACUCAGAUGAGUUCUUUUUUUAAUAAUAUAUGGAUUGAGGAAUGUCCAAUUAUCAAUCUUUCCUCUCUUUUCCUAAUCGAUCAAUGAUAUAUCUGUGGAUUGUCCGUCCGAAUCAAAAAAAAAAAAAUUACAUCAACAUGGGGUAGUUUGCUGAAACAUGGAUAAGGAAGCGGCGGAUCAGUUGUGAGGGAAAUAUUCCGUCGCAAUAUCCGUCACAAUGAACCUGUUUGGUGGAACAUGGAUGAUCACGAAACUUGUGACGGAAGAAUCGCUCACUAAUUUUCCGUCGCUAAUUCGACCUCUCUGACAAGGAUUUUGGGACGGAUCCAUUUCCGUCGCAAAAAAUCAUUGAAAAAGGUGUAACGGAUUUUGUUACGGGCAUAAUCCCUCCCAGAAUUACGUCGCUAUUUCUACCUCGCUGAUAAGGAUUUUGUGACGGAUUCAACUUCCGUCGCAAAAUCAGUUUUGGGUAAAUCGAUUUGGUAAAAGCAUUUUUCUAUCCGUCGCAAAAUUGUUUUUACUUUUACUAUCAGAAGGCCCAAAUAAAUCACAAUUAAACUCAAAUUGUGAUUAUCCACUGAGCCCACUUCAUCCACAGCAGUGUUAUCCACUUAGAGGCCAAACGAAUCACGAUUAAACUGGUUCCAAGAUUUUAUCUAAAUUUGCCCAGAUAAUCUAUAUGGCAUUUGUACAUAAAUACAACUUCUUGAGUGUUUCAGCGUCAUUUUAAAGCCACAAUCUAUAUGGCAUUUGUACAUAAAAGAUUACAUCCAAGUUGAUAUACAACAGAGGUUUACAGAACCUCAAUUUCAUUAAACAUCAAGCUUUAUUUCAUUCUCCUGGUACCUUUGUUUUAUACUCAAAUCCUCAGGUCCAAGUUUAUAAUAUCAAUCUUAAUUUCAUCAGCAGAAUAGUGCUUGAAAAUUCUCAAAACACUGGCUUUGAUGGAGCACAAAAAGUUCCAUUGCUCUAUAAAUUAAGACAUAUAUGAAUUUUUUUUUAAAGUGUAAGACAUAUAUGAAUAUGACAGUACAAAAAUAUUUUUCAAAAACAACAAUGGGCUGAAAUUGGCCAGUUACUUUGUAUACCUAUUCAAUGCCCUGUCUCCAAUUAACUUCAAAGCCCAGCUUCCAACUUCAGUUUGUUCAACAAAAAGUUCUAACUACAGAAAACAGAAAAUACUAUUUAAGUAGGUUUUACAUUAAGGGAAUUCAUUCCAGUUUGAUCACAUUUUGCAUUAUUAAUAAUUACUUAGAUUAUUGAAACUGAGUAUUCAAAUAAUUAAAUAAAAUAAUUUAAUAGCUGUUAUAGUUAAGUACCAUAAUAUAUAAAUGAAAGAAGAAAAAAAUGACAUGGAUAAUAAUUUAUUAACUUUUUUUACACAAGAUAUAUAACUUCAAAGGAGCUAGUAACAUUGUUGAAACAUUUAAGCAGUAUCAUUAACAAGAACAAAUUUCCAUGUCCUCCAAAACACUUGAUGUUGUACUAUAUGCAUGUGCAUACAUUAAGUACAAACGCAAUCCUCUAAACACAAUUUGCAGCUACUCACCAGUCAUUCAAUUUCAUUUAAAUGAAAGUUCACAAAUCGGAGAACUCCUUGGACAUAAGGACAAUUCUUUCAGCAGUUUAAGCUUGUCAACUUUUAAUGGUAAGGAAGACAGAGUGCAUAUUGCCAUCGUCCGUAAAACUCUUGAAUUCUCCAAAAUAUAUUUUACAAAUUGCAGCUCACUUUCCUUGCCUUCGUAAUAUGUAAUACAACAUUUCCUAAGCUGUGAGGAAAGACAUUCAGGAACAAAACAGGGAGAAAUCCAAAUCAAAUCAGCAGUACUUGUGAUCAUAUCAAGGAAAAAACUUUGAAGCAUAGAGCACUGCUUGAGCAUUGCAAGUGCCAAAUGCCAGUUCAUACCACGCCACCAAACAAGCUCCAAAUGAGUUAAAUUGAGAAAAACUGGAAUGUCAUUCAGGUACUUGUCAAUGCAAAGAAAUUCUACAUUACAAAUAGCUUUCAGAGGAAUAUCUAAGCCAAUGGCAGAUAUAUCUGCCCUGACCAACUUAGAUAAGCUUUUAACGUUUUUAUUACUUGCAUUAGAAUCAACAUGGCUAUGAUGGUAUAUAUCCCACACUUGCAUAUCCUCAAGAUUUGGACACCCACUAAGAAGUUUCACGAGAUAUUGUGGUUCUGGAAAAGCAAUAUCAUUCAACUGCAAUGUUUUGAGAGAAGGAAGGUCAACAAAAGAAAACUCAUCAACCUCCAAACCAAAAAACUUGAGAACAACAAGGGUUUUGCAGGUGAAAAUGCAGCUCUUCAACCUCAGUAUAGCAACUGUAUCGGGUAGCUGGAUAUGGAGAUUCUCAAGUCCACCACGUUGCAUGGCAGCGUUGAGCCAUAUCUUGAGAUCGUGAUCAGAGACGUCGAAGUUGGAAUCCUCACAUUGGAGAUGAAACGUUGUAAUGGGUAGGUGCAGAUUUCUGGUGAGAAAGGUUAAAUUUAUGAAAUUGCGAAAGCAGUGAUAGGGUUUGUAUUUGAGGAGGUAGGUUUUGUCGUCGAAGUAGAGGGUAGGAACUGAGAGCCACAGUGGUGUCCACCGCUUUGAAAGAAUGCUUGUGGAUGCAGAGAUUUGAGUUGGAAGAAAAGAGAGAAUGUGACAUAGAACUUCAUCUGGUAACGUGCUAAUCAUGUCAACCAUUGUUAUUAAUUCAACUGCUGGGUUCUCUCCACCGCUGCUAGGGUUCUCUGUGAGGCCAGGUUCACUCUGCUAGGGUUCUUUGUGCCAGUUACAAAUAGGUUAUGUAGAUACACAAAAAUUGUUGACUUCUACAUUCUAGAACUGGCCCAAUGACUUUAUUUUUGGUCGAUGGCCCAAUGACUUUAAAAUAAACUUUUGUCUUUUUGAAGGACUAUUCUCACAAAGCCAUGAAAUGCAUAGAACCCAAAUCUGCAACUGACCCAAUAGCUUUUCACCAGCACUUAACUACCAACCCAAGCCCAAGAAACACAACUAGCAAAGAUCAUAUCUUUUUUUUGAGAGAAAAAUCAUUUUUUCACCCUACAGAAACAUACUUCUCAAUUCUCACUAGACCAAAAAAACUCUUCUAUCUCAUUUUCACUCGUCUUCACUUUUUAUCUCUAUUUAAUUCAUAUCAAAAUCAUCUAUCAUAUUUUUUAUUUUCAUUCUCUCUACCUAUAUUUCAAAGGUGGAAGUGUGUGUAUUAAAGUGUUAAUGAAACAUUUAUUCAUUAAUAGUAUAAUGAUCAAGAUGCAUGUACCAUAAAUUCAAGUAUGCUGCUCCAAUCAUGAAAAAUAACUUUUAAUUAAGGAUUGUGUUUUUGUAUGAAUUUUUAAAAACAAUGUUUUCUUUUUAAAAUAGAAAUUUCAUCUCUUAGUGAAUUUGGACCUUAAAGUCUAAUAAGUUCACGCGCUUAGGAGUUUGGAGGGCUAUAAUCCUCGCCUGAUAAAAUAAUCAAAAAAUCUUUCCCUAAAACAUUUGAUAGUUGUUGUCAUUAGGAUUCUUCAGGAGUUAACCCUCUUUAAUGGACAAUGUCUCAUAUUUUGAUUCUAGCAAUAAAUGAUCGUCAAUAACCCUUGAAGUCAUUAGACCCACUACAAUGACAUUUAUAAGGCAAUAAUAUACGCAAUGGCAGAGAGAAACCUCUAGCCAUCCAAGAGACAGAAAAAAAAAAUCUAUAAAAGCGACCAAAAAGCUAUGAGGAAUGCAUUUUCUCCCCUCUGCACUAACUUCACUCCAAAUCUCUAAUACUACUCAUCAUCGCUGACCCUAAGCUUACCCCCGGUUCUAUAGCGAAACAAAUUAAAUUACGUGAAUCAAACCAACCCAAUUUUAAUUGGUUCAGUUGAUUCAUAUUUGAUGAGAAAUAUUUACAUUAACAAAUUAAACUAAUUAAAUUUGAUAAGUUGAGAUUCUAUUUAAAUCAAAACAUGAAUCAACUCAACCCAUAAACAUUCUGUAUCAUUUCAAUAUUUCAUAGCAUAUAUAUACAAUACACAAAGAAAGUAAAAACAUUUGGAGAGGUAACAAAAUUUGGAGGGUUAACAAAUACAUGCAUACUCUCAUUCAUAGAAAUAGAGGGAGGAAAAAGGGAAGACAAAGACCACACUCAUUCUGAUUCCAAGAAUUUUUCAUUUCAUUUCUAGAAAAUGUCAAGAAUCUCGAUGAUGCUACGAUUGCAAAGUGGGCAAGACCCUCGAUUCAGCCACAGCUCCCGGGAACACACCCUGCAAAAAGUGUGCCCGCAUGGUAUGAACGCCGCACCUUUAUUCCUUCCCAUGCACACGCAACACACCGAAUCAUUCCCCUCUUCUCCUCCUCUUUUCUCCGUCGUCACAGCAGCCGAGUCCCCAACCUCCGUCUCCUCCAAUGCGUGCGGUUUCCGGAGGUUAAACGCAACCCCCAUGUGCCCCCACACCAACCCAAGCCGAUGAAUCCUAACCGUUCCUUGAAGCUCCGCCUUCUCCGAGCGCCUCCAUCUACGCCGUCCAUUUGCUCCCUUAGCAAGCCCAGAAUGGUUCUCUGCUCCCUCUGCGGUUCCCCGUCGUCACAGCCGCCGAGUCCCCAACCUCCGUCUCCUCCAGCAGCCUCAUCAACGACACCCUCCAUGGUGUCCCCGGCGCCCUACCCCCGCCCAUAACCCGUUCCCGUUCUCCCUGUGGCCCCCGGAGCUGUCGUUCCGCCGCCAACGCCGCCGCCAGAUUCAUUCCCGACGAGCUCGGACCCACGCAGUCGUGCCCCGGCAACGGUUCCGGAGAGCGUUGCGGUUGUUCUUCAGGCCUGACGGUUACCGAGGUUGAACGCAAUCCCCAAUUGGCCCCACAGAAAUUGAUAUCCAACCCCAACCCAGGAACACAAAACUGUGAAACCCAAAACAUACCCAGAAAUUGACUCAUCUGCAAUAUGAGACCGAGUUGACUCAUCUGUGGAGCUAGCUAUCGAGUUAGAAGAAGGUUGAGGGAGACAUUGAAGAAGGGAUGAUGAUGAUGAUGGUAACUAGCGACGGUGGUGGCACAGAGAUCUCGUGAAAGUGAAUAACAGGGGAAAAGGAAUUGGAAUUGUUGCGAAAUGCAGAGUGGGGGUUUAUGUUUAUUUAAUAGUGACACUCUGCACGCAUUGCAAGCUCCGUUACUUGUCUUUUGUGUGUGAAAUGAAAGCAAAGAAAUAAGGACAAAAUAGAACAAAUAGCACAAGAAAUGAAAAUGAGGUUUCUUUACAGAGUGUGUGUGACUCUUCUUUUUAUACUCUUCAAAUUAGUAAACUGAUCAAUCUCUUUCUUGGGGCUAGGAAAGCUAACCAUGGACGUGGACAAUGUACAAAUUCUCAAGUAUUGAGACGGUAGGAUUCGAACUCUAGAUCAUUUAGAGCAUUUGCAUUCUAAGGUUCUUAAUUUUCAAUUUUUAACAAUGUGUGAGCUUGUACGACCACAUGUGCUCUAAGGAACUUUUGUUUUGUUCUUAGCUUAAUGACUUACAUAUAAAAACGAGGGCUGAAGAUGGAAAAUGAUACUCAAUACGAAACAAAACUCACAAACUAGCUUACUACCGUAUGAUUUAUUUUCUUAAAUUAUUGAAUAAAAGUCAUCUGAAUAGUUUUAUAUUAUAUUUUAACCGCAGAACUCAAAAUGACUUAUGGAAGAUUUACAAUUACCUUACUCAAAAAGAUUAAUGAGGGUUGAAACAUGCUACAUAUGUGAUAAUAAUUGGAAUCUAUAUAUAAUAUAAGGUUCAUUUUAGUUGAUUUAUUGUUUAUUUGUACACUUGCUGUUGUUGUUCUGUUUGGCCGGCAUUGGCAAAGACUAAAGCCGUUGAAGCCGCCGGCACUCAACCAAAUAGCUCUUGCGGCAAAGGAAUAAUUGGGACUAGUUUCUAUUGAACACACACUUUAGUUGCAUUAUAAUCAAUAUUAUCUUAAGUGCCACUGCUUCAUUGGAUCUGGGACUUGUAAAAGCAAUUAGUACAAAGCUAUAUAGUAUAGAAACUUUUUUUUUAUAAGCAAAGUAUAGGAAACAAUUGGUUUAAGUGGUAGUACUUUGAUUUUCUUUAAGCAAUGGUUAAGACUUAAGAGAGCGGAAAAGUUGAAGUUAUUUAUUCUUGUCCAAUAUUAGGCAGCAUGACAGCACCUAAUUAUGUUAGCUAAACAAAGUUUAGGUUUGAAAGAUGCUACAACCCCCUUCUUCGUUAAUUAGUUGCACCAAAGUUAUUUAUAUAUGAUAUACAUCACGUAAUGAUGUGCAUUUACAAACAGAAAAGUUCUCUCUGCCUCUCAUUUUUAUUUUUUAUUUUUACUGACACAGUUCAAUGUUUUAUUAAAUUAUUUCUUCACCAAGAAAAAAAUAUUUAAAUUAGUGCUUUGAAUUUCGAAAGAACCUUGUUCUUUCAAUCCAUGCAUGGUCCCCAGUUCGUUUAUAUAUUUUCAUUUAAUGUCUCACUUUUGAUUGUUAAAUGGAAAAUAUUUUUCCAUUAUUAUUGUUGUUGUGGAGAAAAUUAAACAAUAAAACAUUAUUAGUCUGUUAGGCAUAGCCUGCGAAACAAAUAAUGAAAAAUAUGAGGAACGGGAAGAAGAUAAUAAUAAAAAUACAAGAGAAAAAUGGGAAGGAACAAAAUGACAAACGAGAACUGUGGUUUGGUAUGAGUGGGACUCAUAAAUCAAAGUAGCCACGUUAUGGUCAUCAUGAUCAUAAUCUUCCCUCCGUGAUUAAAGCACAAAUAGUUUAUUGAAAAUUAAAAAUAAUAUUAGACACAAGUAAGAAUAUAAAAAUUAGAAUUUGAUUUUAGCUAAAAGCAUUAUAUUCUUCAUAGAGAGUCCUUUUAAUCAAUGAUUGGCAUUGUUUGGUCAAUGGAGUCCAACUAAUCAACAUGUGGCGAUAAUGGACACCAUUUGUUCUGAAGCCUCCAAACUCGCUUGAGUAAUGAAUUGAUUGAUUUAUUUAGUAAAUUUGUUUGGUAAUUAAAAUUAAAAUAGUAAACUAGUAGUAGAUUUUUUUUUCAAGUAUUGUCGGUAGUCAUGAGAUUAAUUCUUUCAAAUCUUAUAAAUUAAUUAAGUAUGUAGGUUUUCUAAAAAAAAAUUCUUAAUUAUAGAACUCAGCUAUCUACUAGAUAUACUAAACUUUAUUAUUGCUGUAAACUAAUAUUUUAACCAUGCAAAUGCAAUGAGAAAAACAAUUAAAAUACAAAUAAACUAGCCUGAUAAUGAAUAAUUAUAAAUAAGAACCCAGAGAACAUCUGGCAUCUGCACAUGUGCCAAAGGAAACAAAUAGCAAGAAUAACUUUCUGGAAUCGUUGGCUUGCUUGCAUAUAUAUAUGUCCAAAAGAUGUAUUGAUGUGACCCAGGAAGGAUCUAGAGGUGAAGGAUGGGCCUGUGAGCCCAUUCUUGAUUUAGGGGAGUUUUAGUUUUUAAUUUCUAAUUGGGCCUGUUCCACACAGACAAAAAAGCAAUCAGAACAACAUUGUCAAUAGUCUUCAUCUGUAGAUUGAUUCCAAAGCAAUAACCUUCAUUAUGGUAAAAUGAAUCUGAUGAAGAGGAUGAUGGGAGAUCCCCUUUAUUAGAACUUGUGAUUGUUGCACGAGAUUGAUGGUUAUCAAAGCAUGUGGUUUGUGUACUCAAGUAGUUUGUCGACACACACCUUUUAAUUUGUUUGGCAAAGACUAGUCCCAGAACUCAUAUAUUCUGACUUCUGUCACUGGCCCAUUUAAUAUGACCGCUAAAACCGCCUUGAAUGCAGCAACAACCAUGUUUAGAGCUGUGCGUGCAUGUGUCUUUGUUACUUGUUAGUGCCAUGGUCCCCCACUUUUUGGUAGCCAACUUCCUUUUGCCAUGGGCCUUUGUUGUGGCCCGUUCUGUAUCCUUUGGGACUUGGCUUCUUGCCUUUUUAAUUGAAUCUGAUAUCAUUGACAAAAAAAAAAACACGAUUCUAUUGCCAUUUAUUACUCAAAACCCCGUAUUGCCCUUCUUCUAAAUCAAAUGAAAAUUGAAAUAACUAACUAUAUAAUCCCCAUGUGAUGCUAGCUCACCAUGGUAAUAUUAUUGUGUUUUUGUACACACUUCUGAAUCUGCUUGAGCUAUUAAAGUAUCCAACAUUUAAAUUAAUACGGUUAACUCAUCAUUGCAGGAUAAGGUUACAAUCAAAGGGUGGUUAUACUUAUACUUGUAAAUCAAGGUCAAUUCAGUAAUGUACACUAAUAUAUUUUUUUUUUAAAUCGUCUCAACCCGUAGAAUUUCGUAUGCUCCCACAUGGACGAUGACUAUUCUUCACCCCCACCGACUUCCCUGCCAUCCUUCUCUAGCUCACCAGAGAGCAAAGAUUCAUGCUCGAAAACACGAGGAAGAAACCAGAUUAUUGGGUUUCCCUCCCCUAGUCCAAACGUGUGGGGUUGUGCAUUUGUGUUAUCUUCUUUCUCCAUAUCCUUCUUUGUCGUCUUGCCUUGCUCGUCUUUGUGUUGUUUCUCUCCUCUCUUAGCCUUCCUUCCAUUUUCACGAUAGUUGAAAUAAACAUGAACAAGCAGAAUAACGAACUCCAAUACAGUGAAUCUUGAGGAGUUUUCUUCAUUGUCCUAUGCACCCUCUUCACGAAGGCAAUCAUGUCAUCAUCAUUAAUAUCAUAAUGUGCUAGUUAUGAGUACUAAAAUUUUAUGAUGAAUUGCAAGUAGCCAAGUAUUAUACUAAUAAUUAUUUUUAAAUGAUGUAUUAAAAUUGUUUUAAUUGGUAUAAAUGCAAGGACAAUAUAGUCUUUUGACAUAAAGGACACGCAAUUUUCAUUUUGCAACAUCGACAAAGUUUUAGGACACCUCUUAAUUCUCUAACACCAAUCGUUGGAUGUUAUAAAUCCACCGUUUCCCUUCCCUUCUCUUCUCCGUCUCUGGUUUGCUCUCUCUUCUCUUCUGCCAUCGCAAACUUCUCUGACUCAACAAUGACUUCAAUCUCUCACCUCAACCAACUCACCAGCAGGACCCUUCCGGCCACACCGCUCAUCUCCACGGCCUCAAUUUUCCCGCCGAGCACCGUCGGAAUUCGGAGCAAACCGGUGGGAACUCCGAGGAUCUCCGCACACAUUCCGAGACCAGUGGUGAUCGCCCGAGCGAAAACAAGCGACGAUGAAUGGGGUCCGGAGCCUUCCUCUUUAGCGGCGGUUACGGAGGUGGAGGAGAAACCGGUGGAGACAGAGACAGAGACGCUGAAGAAGGCUCUGGUGGAUUCCUUUUACGGAACAGAUCGUGGACUCAAAGCUACCAGUGAUACAAGGGCUGUGAUCGUUGAGCUUAUCACCCAGCUUGAGGCCAAGAACCCCACCGCUGCUCCCACCGAUGCUUUGACUCUGCUCAACGGAAAAUGGAUUCUGGCGUAAGUUAGCAGUUUUUUUUCAAUUCUAGCGAUGUUAAUUAGUUGAAUUUCUGGGUGAAUUUGAAUGUGUGGUUCUGCUUCAGGUAUACAUCGUUUGCAGGUUUAUACCCAUUGUUGUCAAGGGGAACAUUCUCUUUGGUCAAGGUAGAGGAAAUAUCUCAGACAAUUGAUUCAGAGAAUUUUGCAGUUGAAAACUCUGUUCGCUUUGCUGGUCCAUUGACUACAACUUCAAUUAGCACCAAUGCCAAAUUCGAAAUUCGAAGCCCAAAACGAGUGCAGGUUUGGUUCUAGUCUGAAUAUUGCAUUGAUCAUGCUAAGGUUGUGUGUGUUUGGGCAAACAGUUUAAGUAAACAUGUUUUUCACAUAAGUGCUUAUUCAUACCCUCUUAUUUGAAGAAACUAUUGAAAUAAACUCAAACAAAGCAUAUAGAUAAGCAUCGAUAUAUGCAUAUACAUACAUAAGCUAAUUUAUAGAUAGAUUAUAAGUUAUUUUCACUAGCUCACUCGUAUACUUGUCUAAGCGCUUAUGUAGUCAAACUCAAAUAAGCACUUUCACACACUACAUACAUUUGGAAGAGCUUAUUUGUGCUUAUGUUAUAGCAUAAACAUUUAUGCAAGUGUUUGAGAGCUUAUGUAAAUAGCUUAUGGCCUACUUAUAAUUUGUUUUGAGCAUAAUUUCAUUAGUUGUUUAAAUUUGCUUAUGGAUAAGAGUUUAUGCUUAUCUAUAACAAAAUUAGCUGAUGAAUAAUCGCUUAUUGUCAAAAGCGCUUAAUUAAGUUGUUUUCUCAAACGCACAAAUCAAUGAUCUCUAGGGUAACAUUGGAUUUUGACAGGAGCAUUUGCAUGAGCUCACUCAAAUACUUGUCUGAGCACUUCUGUCAUGAGACAAACUCAAAUAAGCACUUAGUUUUGUUAGUCUAAGAUCUUGAAUCCUGAUUUAGCUCCCAGAAGUGACAUUUUCUCAACUUGCAUGUUAUUCAGAUCAAGUUUGAGGAAGGUAUCAUUGGCACUCCUCAGCUAACAGACUCAUUAGUGAUACCAGAAAAUGUGGAAUUUCUUGGGCAAAAUAUAGACCUCACACCCUUCAAAGGCAUACUUACCUCUGUCCAGGACACCGCCUCAUCGGUUGUGAGAACAAUUUCGAAUCAGCCUCCAUUGAAGAUCCCAAUUUCCGGCAGCAAUGCUCAGUCGUGGCUGCUCACUACAUACCUUGAUGAAGAACUCCGCAUCUCAAGGGGCGAUGGUGGUAGUGUGUUUGUUCUUAUCAAGGAAGGCAGCUCUCUUCUGACAAACUAAACAAAUUGUUGUUUUAGUUUUUGGGCAUAUUAUUAUAUAAUAAUUUGUUGUUAUGUCUAUAAAAUAAGACACAAGUCAGAUUGUAUACAAUUAUGCUAUAGAUGCAUGUAUAGGAGGACAGUAUUAAUUCUGUUCUGCGUUUGACAUGUCAAAUUGUUGAUGACGGUUAAAUUUGUUAUUUUAUCAACAGAAGGCUCUAAAUUUACAACAUCAUAUAUAUCAAGUUUUCUAGUUAGACUAUCUUAGGAAGACAAGUAAGAUUAUGAAUUAUAUAGUUGAAAGACAGGUUAAUUUCUGCUACUGCUAUGUUGUCUUGUUUUGGUCCAAAUCUCAUUUAAUAUAAAUGAUAUUUUAAGAAUAUGAGUGAUUUAAACAACUCCUUAUAUUUUAAAUUUGUAGAUCUAGAUAGCGUUUGGUAGACAGGUGGGAAGAGAACAGAACACACGUUCCGUUCUGUGUUUGUCAUGCUUUUAAGAUGGAACAGAACAGGACAAAAAACUUUUAGAACAGGACAUUUUGGUUCCGUUGAAAAGGGUGGAACGGAAGAUAACGGAACGAGACACAAUUAAAAUAUUUUAUUGUGACGAAAUUACCCUGAGUCUAUUUUCUCAACUCUCCUUGUCUUUUUGUAGAGCCGUCUUCCCCAUCUCAACUUUCAUCAUCCAUAUCAUCCCAUCUUGGUUUCCACAAUCAAAGCCCUUACCGCUGUAUACAUAUACAUGGAUCGAUCGUCUUCUCCAACAUCAGAUCUACACCAAUUUCAAACAUAUAUACCAUUUUUAAUAUUUUACUUCUAAACUUAUCUGGAUUUUCCAAACUCAAUCCUCGUAACAAUAGCAAAGUUUUUUUUUAAAAAAAAUCAACAAUAGUAAGGCUUAUUAUUAUUGCGAAUCAGCCUCCAUUGAAGAUCCCAAUUUCCGGCAGCAAUGCUCAGUCGUGGCUGCUCACUACAUACCUUGAUGAAGAACUCCGCAUCUCAAGGGGCGAUGGUGGUAGUGUGUUUGUUCUUAUCAAGGAAGGCAGCUCUCUUCUGACAAACUAAACAAAUUGUUGUUUUAGUUUUUGGGCAUAUUAUUAUAUAAUAAUUUGUUGUUAUGUCUAUAAAAUAAGACACAAGUCAGAUUGUAUACAAUUAUGCUAUAGAUGCAUGUAUAGGAGGACAGUAUUAAUUCUGUUCUGCGUUUGACAUGUCAAAUUGUUGAUGACGGUUAAAUUUGUUAUUUUAUCAACAGAAGGCUCUAAAUUUACAACAUCAUAUAUAUCAAGUUUUCUAGUUAGACUAUCUUAGGAAGACAAGUAAGAUUAUGAAUUAUAUAGUUGAAAGACAGGUUAAUUUCUGCUACUGCUAUGUUGUCUUGUUUUGGUCCAAAUCUCAUUUAAUAUAAAUGAUAUUUUAAGAAUAUGAGUGAUUUAAAC
Molecule: long non-coding RNA, 52800 nt
Filed under: Lotus japonicus
Lineage: Eukaryota; Viridiplantae; Streptophyta; Magnoliopsida; Fabales; Fabaceae
Description: long non-coding RNA (LJAP_LNC002229)
Source: RNAcentral